UGUGAGGUACGACGACGACAAUGAAUUUGUGGUCAAGAGCGCCGAAGAGGCCCAAGAGGAUACUUUGAAUUGGUUCUUGAAGCAUGUCAAGUGAAGAGAACCGAAGGCAUUGAAGCACAACAUUCUGACGGAAGCAUUAGAUGACUGUAUUGUGUGAGACGAACAGUUUGAGGACUAGUCAUCUAUUGUAAUAUCUGGCGAGGGAACAAUGUACUGUGCUGUUGAUACUUAGAGAAAUAAAGACAUUGGUUUCAUCGCUUAAACUUGGAAGAUUGAAAACGAAAUAUAUCGCCUAGAGUUGUAUCGUGGCGAUUUUCGUGGCGAUUUGGGUGCAUUUUCUAUUCGAAUUGAUCAGAGGUGUUCACUGUCCAUUAAAUGAGGACCACACAAUGGAAUAUGAAACAGCAUAUUCGUUUCCCAAUCCCCUUUUUGAAGGAUAUGUUAUUGCAUGGUUACCACCAAGUCAUCAGCUAAAGUGGCUAAUAUCUAAGGUAAUCUCUAGACCACUUAAUUUUGAAUGCAUCCAUUAUAUUAUAAGUUAUAACUUGACAAAUAUGCGAGCAAUUAAGAUUUCAUUAAAAGAUACACGAUCUCAAAAUCGCAUGCCCCAAGAAAAAAAAAGAAAAAGAGAUGAAAGUAAGGAUAUGGAGAAAAAUAGUAUCCAAAAUAUAUGAGAAACCAACUAUUCGAACUUAUGACAAAAGCGAAGCGUUUGUUUUUGGUCAAGUCUAUAUGAUAGUAGGUCAAGAUUUUUCGAAACUAAAUCAGAUAGACAUGGAAAAAUUCGUCCUUCAUGUAUAUGGUAUAUAUUUUCGCAAUGUGCAUUUGUAUACUGACCAAAAAAUUUCAGCUUUUGGCCAGAUGGUGUUUUUUUGUGAGAGGACGCAUGUCUCUAUCGGGCUAAAUAUAUAAUGGUUUCGUCUUUGUUCGUUUCUCGUCUGUUUCUCACCGGCCCUCUUUCUUGUUUGACAUCAGCAGUGACGUUAAUACGAACCACGAGACCUUUGAUGACUAAUCCGAACCAUAAGAUUACACGGGCAAGGUGUCUGCAAGAGUAACUUUUUCAGACGCUGUGAUAUCGUAUCGCGGAUAAGCCAAUGGUUUUCAGAAGGCAAAGCAUGAUUCCACUUAGCGACCAGUGAAUCACCGUAUCAUCUCUCGUCUCUUGGCUCUGUUCUUACCUCGGAAAGAAUAAAGAAACGAAGAAAAAGACCAUGAACAGUAAACAAUGAAAGAAAAGAGAAGAAAAGAUCAAAAUAUCUAUAAAUUUUUUCAAAACGACGUCGUUUUGAGUGGAGUUGUGCAUGUCAAUAUCACUAACCCUUGCCAUGUAAGAUGACAAGCAUUGAUUUGCACCUCUACAUCAGAAUUUCCUGACAUAAAUUAGUUGGAUAGACAAUAUUACAAAAUUGUUGAAAGGUUCAUGACUACACUAGCCGAAUUGGACAGUUUAUUACAAAAUUGGAACUUGUACAAUUUGUUCACAGCUUUUGGGUAGUUUUUCCCAUCUUAAGUAAGUCGUAAUUCUAAUACAUGGAUGCAUAAGCUCUAUGCUUUUCUUAUUAUGAAGGUUGAAUUCCAUUUGAAGGUUAGGUAAUCGUUUUCUGGUUUAGGUAUUUAUUUUUUGUCCUAUGGUGAAUUAGGUGAUGCUUUUUUCGCCUCGUUGGGACAGAGAAAACUGCUUUGUCUCCAAUCCGGCAACUUCCAUAUUGCUGAACCUGGACAUGAAUUUAGUAUCUGUAACACAAUUGUUGAAAUAACCUAAUGAAAAAACCUAGAUUGGUCGAAAUUGGUUGAUUUGGGUCAUCUAGGAACCGGCUUGUUGAAUUAAAGUCUAUCAAACCCAUUGGUUGAUCCAGGCUGAAAUUGGAUUAGUCCACUUAUCAAUUGCGUUAACAUGUCAGGGCUCAACAGCCGGCAAUUAUCUGGAUUUGUAAGAAAGAUCCAUGCAUAGCCGGUGAUGGGCCUUUCUCUCUUGGAAAUUGGACAUUGCUGAAAAAUGCUUUCAAAGAUCUUUCUAUUGGAGUUUUCGAAGUUCUCCAUAUCCACAAAAAAUGUUUAACUUUUACUAGUUCAAAUUUUCAAAUGAGAUAAAAAAAAAAAUCAUUUUGAGAUGUUUGCUUUCAAAAGUUUCUAAAAUAAGUUUCUAAAGAAAAAUACUCGAGUUUAGCGCACAUCAGACGAUCCCUUCCUCGAGACUGUGGAGUGGUUCCUCGGGUCCAAGAUUCGGGGACAAGGGGGUAGGUUUCCCAAGUCCAAGCACUGGAUUCUACGCACUCCCGAGGCUUAGGUACGAGGCAUCGGAAGUAGGGGACCGAGGUCCCAUCUUGCUCUGUUGCGUAGUGGCGAGUGUUGGGGUCCCUGGUUCAACGCACCAACGUCCCGAGUCCAGCUACUGAAGUUUCAGGACUAAGCAUGGUGGUCUCGAAUUUGACCCACAAGCACCCAAGAUAUUGGGUCCUAGCACUUGGUUCCUAAGUUCGACCCUAAGGUCCUAUGUUUCGCAGCUGAAGUUCCCUAUCUCCAUAGAUGAGGCGAUCAGGUUCUCGAAUUUAGAUGAUAAGGUCUUGGUUUAGCCCUAGGUCAAGGGCAUGGGGAUUGGGGUCCCAAGUUCAAGGGUCGAUGACACGGGCGUGUAUUUUAAAUAUUAUAACUUUUUACUAAGUUCCUUGAUAUUUAACAUAUGCUAGGAUAGAAUUUCUUUGUAAUUUAAUUAGAAUUUCAUUAGUUCUUCAAAUAUGUUAAGUUUUCUUGUUAUAUAAAAUAUUGAGAGUUUUCCUCUGUUGCAUUCAUGUGUGUGCGCCAUCGUGUGUAGUGCGAGUGUUCACUUGUGUUGGCAAAUUGCCACUUGUGCAAUCACUCUUUUAUGUUACAUUAAACGGGUCCGGCAUUUGAGCACCGAUGUCUCAAAUUCAACCUUAAGAUGCAAAGCCCGGCCUGUCACACCCCAAAAACUACAAAGAAUGGGGAUGACACAAAGGUCCUUCUUUACAAAGGACGUAGCCUCAAACACAACCAGCAAACUGAUAUUAACUUAUAUAUAUAUCAGAUAAACCUUCAAAUUGGUUGCAACAUCAGAGUUCCUAUAUGUUGGAGAAAUCUUCCUGGAGUAUUUUGAAGCUGAUAAAACGUUUCCAUCAGUCUAGUCUGAAGAUUUGCAGACUCUACUAUUUAAAGUCUGAAGACCUCUGGACUGCCAGACUCAAGACUCAAAGUCUAUUCUCAUUGACAGUUUCUAAUCCGUCAAAGAAGGGCUAUCCAGGACUGGAUGUUUCGUUAAUGAUUUGACCUUAUCGAUUGGAGAAGAUCUCUUGGCUGUAUAUGACAUAACGGAAUCCUUUAUUGACUCAAAGAUUGAGGAUCUGAUGAUUGGCGGAGUAUACUUGGAAGGUUCUACUUAUGGAAACCGAGAUCCUGAUUGUAUGGGCGAGCAUGAUUAUGGGCUAUCGACAUAUUCCUUAAAUAGCUCGAAUGAUCUUCCUAAUUGAUUCUGUCCAACGGGAAGGUUGGAAGAAUUCCUUUGGUAAAUGCCAACGGGUAUGAUGGCAUAAAGGAGUAUAUAAGGAAGACGUUUAAGUUGUUCAAGUGUGUGUGUGAUAAAAGAAUUCCAAAGUCUGAAGCUCUUUGUUCUUAGUCAAUUCAUUUUCUGAGCGAAAUCUUGUACGCAAAAGAGAGUCCAUAUUCUUGAGAAACCUUGAGGAAGUGUGGUAGAGUAUUUACACUAUGGAAUCAAGGGAAAGCCUUGCUGUAACAACUCUUUUGUUUAUAGUGAAAUCCAGCCGGUGGGCUGUUAGUGCGGAAGAGUGGACGUAGGCUUGGAAUAAGAUGAACCACUAUAAUUUAUGUGUUCAUUUUCUCUUCCCUACUCUCUGCUUUACUUUGAUCAUAAUUUGCUUUGUUAACGAAAGGAGAACUUCCUUUCUAUUGUUUGCUUAGUAUUGCUCUCUUAUCUCGAGAAAAUAUUUUUUACACCUAUUCACCCCCCUCUAGGUGCUUAUACUAGAUAUCUCAAUUGGUAUCAGAGCCUGUGUACUCACUUUGUUUGAAGUGUUUUACUUUAGAGUUAAAGAUCCAUGGCUAGUAUGUUAGCUCCAGGGCUAGUAGAAGGGCAAAGCAAUACCAGACCACCUUACUUUGAUGGAAAUGAAUACAACAUAUGGAAAAACAAGAUGAAGGCGUUCCUAAGAUCAAAGGAUCCUCUGGAAUGGGACGUUAUAGACAACGGAAUCAUUCCUAAAGCUGCACCUGUCUUAGAGAGAGGAAAAGAAACUGUUGAGUCUAGUGAAAUGACUUAGGAAGAGAUAACCAAGAGACAAGCUCUUGAUGCAAAAGUAAUUUAUUCUUUAUAUUGUGCUUUGUCACCUACUGAAUAUAACAGAUUAUCUUCUUGUGUUACAGUGAAAGAAGUUUGGGAUAGAUUACAUAUUACCUAUGAAGGAACCGAUCGAGUGAAAGAAACCAGAAUCAACAUUCUCCUCGAUCAAUACGAAGCAUUCAAAAUGAAAUCAGGAGAAUCUAUAACUAACAUGUUUAGUCGUUUUACAGAAAUCGUGAAUGGUCUUGAAAAUCAAGGUUAACCAAUUUCUGAUCACAUGAAAGUAAACAAGCUACUGCGUGGACUCUCCAAGGAUUGAAAUCACAUAAAGACCUCAAUAAGGGAGACACAAAGAAUUAUGCCACUAUCUAUCGAUGAGUUGGUUGAGACUCUUCAGUCUUAUGAAGUGGAACGAAUCAAUGAAGACGAAGAUCCUAAAGGUAAGAAAUCCAUUGCAUUAAAAUCCAAUGAUGAUUCUGAUGUUACAGAUUCUAAAGACGAUAUGGAUGAUGAGGAGCUUGCUCUCAUGAUAAGAAGAUUCAGAAAGCUGAACAGAAAAGGAAGAAGAUUCAAUCCAAAGAAACAAAGUUUUCAAAAGCAACAAACUAAGUCCGUUGAGGAUGAUGAAUCAAAUAGAGAUGUAGUCUGCUUUGAAUGUAAGAAAAAUGGACACAUCAGACCCAACUGUCCUCUUCUGAGGAAGAAGAAAGGAAAAGUUGAAAAGUAUCAAAAUGCUCUUAAAGCAGAAACCUGGAGUGAUACAGAAUGUGAAGAAAGUGAUGAUGAUUAUGCCAAUUGUCUGGUGGCACAAUCGGAUUCAGAUUCAAACUCCGAGACAAACUCAGAUUCAGACAGUGAAGUUGAGGUGAGUAACUCUAAAAUCCCUAUUAAAGUUUCUAAAUACAUUGAUGAGUUGUGUUUUAGUCUUAAGACUUCUCUUAAAAGGAUUUCCGAACUUAAAAAGGAAAAUUCUGCAUUGAAACAACAGGAAAAUGUUUUGAAAGAAAAUGUGAAAUGUUUAGACAUGAAUGUUUCUACUCUUAAAGAAAGAGAAGACAACCUUUCGAAAGAAAAUGUAUUUUUAAAAAAUGACAUAUCAAAUAUUUUCAAAAGAUUUUCAAUAGGAUCUGAGAAACUUGAGAAAAUUCUUUCAGCAUAAAGACCUUAUUUCAAUAAAUCUGGUUUGGGAAUGACUGUGGAAACCAUUCCUUUAAUUGAUUUUCCUAAAGUGAAGGAAAGAAUUAAGCAAAGACCCAUAAGAGAUGCUUACAAAAAUCAUUUUAAAAAGGUCUUUGUAAAACCAAUAGGUCAGAAUGCUCUCAGAUGUUCAAAGUGCAAUAGUUCAAAUCAUUUUGAGAAAGAAUGUCCUAUGGUUUGGAAACCUGUUAAGAAAGUAUGGGCAAAAACCGCAUAUCAUACUAACACCAAUGGACCCAAGAAAAUAUAUGUACCAAAGAAAGUUUGAGUCUCUUUUUUAAAUGCAGGUCACUAUCAAGAAGAAGGUAAAAUGGUAUCUGGAUAGUGGAUGCUCAAGACAUAUGGCAGGAGAUUCAAAUUGUUUCAUAAAGCUCAUUCACGUAAAUGGUGGAAAAGUCUCAUUUGGAGGAAACAACAAAGGAAGAAUUGUGGGAUUCGGAACUGUAAAUAUUGGAAACCUCACAAUCAGCAAUGUUUCCUUAGUGGAAGGACUCAACUACAAUCUGCUCAGUAUCAGUCAGCUGUGCGAUACCGGUUUCAAAAUCAACUUUCAAGAAGGAAUAUGUUCAGGAACCAGUAAAGAUUCUACUAAGUCAUUCAUGGGUUGAAGACAUGGAAAUAUCUACCUCUUGGACGUGAAACCAAAUGAAUCGCAAUGUCUAAUCUCAAUUCAAGAUGAAGUGAACUUAUGGCACAUAAUACUUGGGCACAUCAAUAUGAAGCAAAUAGCCAAAAUUUCAGCAAAGAAGCUAGUUCGUGAUAUACCCAAUCUGUCAUACCAAAAGUCUGAUCUAUGUACACCAUGUGUAUUGGGAAAGCAUGUAAGAAAUUCCUUUAAACCAAUAAAUCAAGUUUCCACUAAUCGUGUACUGCAGCUUCUACAUAUGGAUCUCUUUGAAUCAACCAGAACUCAGAGCAUUAGAGGUAAUAAAUAUUGCCUAGUAAUUGUGGAUGACUACUCACGAUUUACUUGGGUAUAUUUCCUGACAAGUAAGUCUGAAACAUUUUCUUACUUUGAAAAGUUUGCUAAAAAGAUUCAAAAUGAAAAAUGGUAUGUUAUUUCAAGUAUAAGAACAUACCAUGGAGGUGAAUUUGAAAAUCAGGAUUUUACAAAAUUUUGUGAUAAAUUUGGUUUUCAACAUGUGUUCUCCUCUCCAUAUACUUCAGAGCAAAACGGAGUUGUGGAAAGAAAGAAUAGGUCGCUUCAAGAAAUGGCUAGAACUCUUUUAAUUGAAAGUAACAUCUCUUCACGUUUUUGGGCUGAAGCAGUUUCUAUAGUAUGUUAUAUUAUUAAUGGAGUUUUUCUAAGACCUAUUAUGGAAAAAACCCCCUAUGAGUUAUUCAAAGGAAAGAAGCCUAUUGUUUCAUAUUUUCAUGUGUUUGGAUGUAAAUGCUUUAUAUUGAAAAAUACAAAUGAUCGAGUUGGCAAGUUUGAAGAAAAAUCAGAUGAAGGCAUCUUCCUUGGAUAUUCUACCUCAAGCAAAGCCUACAGAGUCUACAACAAGAAGACUCAAUCUGUGGAGGAAUCAAUGAAUGUCAAAUUCCAAGAUUCUAUGCAAAAUGAAUCUAUUCAAACUCAUCUUGAAGAAUCUGAACUUGCUCCAGACUCUACAAAGUCUAAAUCUCAAGAAGCAGUUCAAACUUCGAAAGACUAGCAUCAAAUGAUUGUUGAAUAUUCAAAUGAAGAAAGUGAUCAUCAACCUGACAAAUCAACCGGUAACUGGAAGCAUAAGUCCAGUCAUCCCAAAGAUCUCAUUAUAGGCGACAUUAAUGAAGGAAUUCGCACAAGAUCCAAAAUGCGCGAAGAGUCUAGUGCUGUGGCUCUUAUUUCUGAAAUAGAACCCAAAAGCAUAGAAGAAGCUUUAUCUGAUGAAAGCUGGAUUGAAGCCAUGCAAGAAGAACUCAGGCAAUUCAGUAUUAAUGAUGUCUGGGAAUUGACUCCUAAACCGAAAGGUAAAUCUAUUAUUGGAGCUAAAUGGGUUUUCAGGAACAAGAUGGACGAGAAAGGAAAGGUCAUAAGAAACAAAGUAAGACUCGUGGCCAAGGGAUAUACGCAAGAAGAAGGGAUAGACUAUGAUGAGACUUACGCACCAAUAGCGAGGUUAGAAGCAAUUAGAUUAUUACUUGCUUUUGCUUGCUAUAAGAAUUUCAGGUUAUUCCAAAUGUACGUCAAAAGUGCUUUCCUGAAUGGAUUUAUCCAUGAGGAAGUCUAUGUGGAACAACCACCUGGGUUUGAAGACCCAAGGAAACCGGACUCAAUAUUCAGAUUGAAAAAGGCUUUAUAUGGUUUAAAGCAAGCACCUCGAGCUUGGUACGACAGGCUGAGUAAAUUUUUAAUUCAAAACGGUUUUGUCAAAGGUAAAGUAGACACUACUCUAUUUAUCAAAAGAGAAAGCAAAAGUUUUCUGCUUGUUCAAAUAUAUGUUGAUGAUAUUAUUUUUGGAUCCUCUUAUCAAAGUCUGUGCAAGAAAUUCUCUAAGUCUAUGCAGGAUGAAUUUGAAAUGAGCAUGAUGGGUGAACUAACCUUCUUUCUUGGACUUCAAGUGAAACAAUUGAAUAAAGGAACCUUUAUUCAUCAAGAAAAAUAUGCUAAUGAUCUUGUCAAAAAGUUUGGACUGGAAAAUUGCAAAAAGACUGAUAUACCAAUGUCAAGUUCUUUAAAGAUAGACAAAGAUGAAGGAGGAAAGAAGGUUGACCAGAAGCUAUACAGGAGUAUCAUUGGUUCACUUCUUUAUCUUACUAUUUCUAGACCUGACAUUUUGUUUAGUGUUUGCAUUUGUGCUAGAUUUCAAGCAGACCCUAAAGAAUCUCAUCUAAGUGCUGCAAAGCGUAUUAUCAAAUACAUUGCAUCAACUUCAAGCCUUGGUCUUUGGUAUCCUAAAAAGGGAGACUUUACUUUUCUUGGAUACUCAGAUGCAGAUCUAGCCGGAUGCAGAGUUGAUAGAAAGAGCACCUUGGGUAUCUGUCAACUACUUGGAAGCAGGACAGUGUCUUGGUUUUCAAGGAAGCAAAAUAUAGUGGCUCUUUCUACAGCAGAAGCAGAGUAUGUAGCUCUUGGAAGUUGUUGUUCACAAAUUCUGUGGAUAAAACAAUAGCUAAGAGACUUUGGAAUUGAAGAUUCAUGCACGGAGAUUAACUGUGACAACACCAGCGCAAUCAAUCUCACCAAUAAUCCAAUUCUUCACUCAAGAGCAAAGCAUAUAGAGAUUCGACAUCACUUCAUUAGAGAUCAUGUUCAGAAUGGAGAAGUUUCGAUUCAGUUUGUUGACUCAAAGAACCAACUGGCGGAUAUAUUUACAAAGCCGUUGGAGAAAAAUCAAUUUGAAAUCAUUCGUUCCAGACUCAACAUCUUGAGGUUUGAAGAAGUAAAAAUCUAGAGACUCUCAGACUCAGACAAUCAAGAUCGUUGAUUGUAAGUUAUUUUAUUCUCUCUCAGAUUAAAUCUUGAAAAGGUACGAUCAUAUGUCCAUAAUUGAUUUUUGCUACUUUCAAUUUCCGUGAUUAGUGCAAUCUUUCUUUUUCGAAAAUGGAGUUAAUUUUUAAAUGGCAGUUAUCUAUUUUUUUUGAAAAAGGCAGUUAUUUUUUAAAAGGGCAUCUUUUUACUUUUCAUUACGACGUUUUGUAUGCCUCUCUUCGACUGACCUAUAUACUGUUGGUUUCUCUUCGUUUAACUCCAAAAACUCUAAAAAGCAUCGAUCUUCCACUUCUGUCUUCUUCUCUUGUUUAAUCUUCGAAAAGUUGUCAUUUUUCUUGGGAAAGUCAAGUUUGGAAUCUUUCAAAGACUGUGAAAGAUGUCGUCUCAAAGGAAGUCUUCGAGGAUCGCGAACAGGGGACCGCAGCAAAUGCGUGAGGGGCCUACGCACUUUGAUCUCACCAAGGAAGAAGAGUCUCCUAGUCAGUAGCAGAGCCCACGACAUUCUCAGCAGCGUCCAUCUUCUCCAUCUAGACCACAGGAUGUUGCUCGUCGAGAAGAGGAAUAAAUAAUUGAAGAUGCAGAAUCGUAAGAACUUUUAAGCCCUCUUUUACCUACAAGCUUUAUCGUGCUUUGAAAAGGGGUGGAACUCCUUUGAAUUACAUUGAUGAAUUUCUGAAAGACAAAGGGUACAAAAAUGAAACCUUUUUUUUUUACGCACAAUGGAACGGUUGGGAAUUGCCCUUGCUGGGUUGGCAGAAGAGGCAAUGUCAAAUAUUCCAAUCGAUCCACGUGUUGGAGGGCUGAAUCAGCCAGAUGGGAAUGAUGAUGACAAGUUGUACAGUCAGUUUCAACCGAGAAUGGGUGUUGUGGCAAAAAUUUGGAGCAAAAGGACAGACUUGUUUCGAUCGGAGGAACACAAGCAUCUAUACUCUAAGUUGUUGAAGCGUGGGGUCAUAAACCCUAGAAGUGUGGAUUUUGAUUUCCUUGACGCUGUGAACGUUAAUUUGAGGGAAAAAUUCAGUCUUCUUCAACUUGAACAGUUCUGUUCUGAAUCUACAGAAGCCUAUGCUGAACUCACUACAUACUUCUAUUCAAAUCUCAGUUUCUUAGAUGCGAAUAGAUUCUCUUUUAGUGUCCGAGAUCAGGACUAUGUGGUGGAUGUAGAUAUGUUGGCUGAUGUGAUUGGGGUUGAGAGAGGGAGAUAUCAACCUAUAAAUGUCUCUAUUGCUCGUGCUACGUUAGAACUUGUUAAGGAUAGAAGGAUAGAGGGAAAGGUUUCCUACUCGAGGAUGAGUGCGUUCAACAUUCUACUUCACAAGAUUGUGAUCAAUUGCCUCAGACCAAAAUCUACUUCAAAGACUGAUGUUUCAAACUCAGAGGCAAAACUGAUGUAUGCCAUCAAUGCUGGGAAAAAGUUCUCUCUUCCUCAUACUAUUAUAUUACACAUGUAUAGAGCAGUGGUGAAAGACAAGGGUCAAAUUCCUUAUCCAGCUCUUGUGACAAAGUUAUUUAGACAUUUGAAUGUUUAGCCUCCCCGGAUUCUCUGUGUUCGAAUUUGUGAUCAAAUGGUAGUGGGACUGAAAAUGGUAUCUAAAAUGCAUCUGAAGGAACUCAACAAGGCGUUGGAGAAAUUUAAGGAGAAAACCCCUGUCAAAACUCAUCAAAUCUCUUUGGCAACAAAAAGAAAAGGGAAGGAGCCCAUGGUUGCUCCAUCCAAGAAAAGAAGAGCUCUCAUUGUUGAGGAUGAAGAAGAUGAGGAAGACAUCACCAUUACUGCAAUGGCAUUGAAGAACCUGAGUUGUUCUGUUCCAGAAUCAACGGAACGACAAGAGAAAGACACAGAACAGAGGACUGGAGAAAGAGAAGAUUUGGAAGCAGAAGAGAAAGAAACAUAGGAGAGAGAAGCUGAAGAAAGAGAUGCGGAGGAUGAAAGAAUUAAAGAAGAAGAAGAAGAAGAGGAAAAAGAAGAUCAAGAGGAAGGAGAGCAUGAGGAACACUCUUCUCCUCCUGAAGGCAUGGAAACAAGGGGAGAUUGUGAGAAAAGAGGAAUAUCCUCAUAUCCUACUACCAGUGAAGGAGUCAGCCGCUCUCCAGCAGAUCUAGAGGACAUCUAUGUCUCUCAAUUUCCUGAGGAGGGACAUGAUGUUUCAUUGCCCAAUCUGCGUGACUAUGCUGAUUUGCCAUCAUCUGCCUUUACUCCAUUUGAUCGUGCAGAAGCUAGUACGCAGACUGAUAAUUCAGCAGAUUUUCACAGAAUUCUUGAUGUUCUCUUAGAAAUGCGGGGUCGGAUAUAUGCUCUGGGAUGCGAAGUACAGAAUUUGCAGACUGCAAAUCAAGCUUCUUCAGUUUCUUUGGAUGAUCAGAUCCAAGCCCUUACUCUUCAGAUUCAAGCAAAUGCUAAGGGUGAAGAGGUGGCUCAACUGAAGGAAGAGUUGACAAAGCUGGAAGGCAUUGUCCAGUCAAUGGGAGAUUUUCAGCUUGUUCGUGUUCCCAAGCAUUCUUGAUUCCAUCUCAACCUUUUUUAUGAUGACAAAAAGGGGGAGAGAUGUGAUUUGAACUUUGAACCUUGAACUUUUUUGAACUUGAUCUUGAACUUUUGAUUUGUUUUGAUGUUUGACUUGACUUUUGUGUCUGGCUGUGGACUAGAUUUGGGAUUUUGGAUUGACUGCUUAUAUUAAGUACUAUUGAUAUCUUAUGGAUGGCUUUACUCAUAUGCAAGACUAACCUAUUUUCUGUGGUUACAGAUUUUAGUGUUAUCAAUAAACCAUUUAUCUUUAUGAGAUAUCCAUAUUUGCUUGAGUAAUAUUUUGCAGGUCAAAGUUAUCCAAACUGUAGGAAAGUUUUGUCACCAUAAAAAAGGGGGAGAUUGUUGGAGAAAUCUUCCUGGAGUAUUUUGAAGCUGACAAAAUGUUUCCAUCAGUCUAGUCUGAAGAUUUGUAGACUCUACUAUUUAAAGUCUGAAGACCUCCGGACUACCAGACACAAGACUCAAAGUCUAUUCUCAUUGACAGUUUCUAAUCCAUCGAAGAAGGGCUAUCCAAGACUGGAUGUUUCGUUAAGGAUUUGACCUUAUUGACUAGAGAAGAUUUCUUGGCUGGAUAUGACAUAACAGAAUCCUUUAUUGACUCAAAGAUUGAGGAUCCGAUGAUUGGCGGAGUAUACUUGGAAGGUUCUAUUUAUGGAAACUGAGAUCCUGAUUGUAUGGGCAAGCAGAAUUGAUGGGCUAUCGACAUGUUUCUUAAAUAGCUCGAAUGAUCUUCCUAAUUGAUUCUGUCCAACGGGAAGAUUGGAAGAAUUCCUUUGGUAAGUGCCAAUGGAUAUGAUGGCAUAAAGGAGUAUAUAAGGAAGACGUUCCAGUUGUUCAAGUAUGUGUGCGAUAGAAGAAUUCCAAAGUCUGAAGCUCUUUGUUCUUAGUCAAUUCAUUUUCUGAGCGAAAUCUUGUACGCAAAAGAGAGUCCAUAUUCUUAAGAAACCUUGAGGAAGUGUGGUAGAGUAUCUACACUGUGGAAUCAAGGGAAAGCCUUGCUGUAACAACUAUUUUGUUCAUAGUGAAAUCUAACCAGUGGGCUGUCAGUGCGAAAGAGUGGACGUAGGCUUGGAAUAAGCCGAACCACUAUAAUUUCUGUGUUCAUUUUCUCUUCCCUACUCUCUGUUUUACUUUGAUCAUAAUUCGCUUCGUUAACGAAAGGAGAACUUCCUUUCUAUUGUCUGCUUAGUAUUGCUCUCUUAUCUCGAGAAAAUAUUUUUACACCUAUUCAUUCUCCCUCUAGGUGCUUGUACUAGCUAUCUCACUAUAAUCCACCAAAAAGAGAAAAGAGAUAUACGUUUAAAACUUAGAUGAUCCAACCACUAGUAAGGAUCAUUUGCAUCACUUCCUUAAACUAUACCAAAAACAAAAUAGAACUCCCCAAAAGUUUCCCACGACAGUGAACUCGCUCUAUUUGCCGCUAGCUGAGGAACCUAAAAAGAUCAAAGGAGGAAUAGGAUGAGCAACCAUAGCUCAGUGAGUAGUACAUAUCUUCUAAACAGAUCGAACAAUCACUAUGCAUAUAUACAAAGCAAUACCAAACUUCAUAACGCCAGCUCAAUAUAUAAAAUACGUAUUGAAUCUUAUAAGAGUUAUUUCUUAUCAUCAAAUAUUUAUAGUAAUAUGGAAAACUCAUUUGAAUCACCAUCAAAAGUCAAGUAUCAAUGGUUGAAUCCAUUGAAUAAUCUCCAUCAAAAACACAUAUCAAUGGCCUAUCCAUUGAUUAAUCUUUUGCUCAAUAACUAACCAUGGUCACGACACAACGCCUUGUGACAAGGCAACCAAGAUUCUCCCUUUGGCAAGGUUUCCACCUACAAAGCCGGUGGCUGAGCCCAGAAGGAUAUCAUAAACCUGGUAUGUAUACCCCAAAUUGAGCAUAAAUAACCAUUCUCCAAUACCAGAAAUCCAAUCCAAAAAUCAAUAUCUUAAACCAAACAAAUAACAUUUUGCAACAUAGCCCAUCAUCCAUUUCAUACUCAUUUCUCAAAUCAUUAAAUCUUUCCAUAAAUCAGUUGCAAAGCAAUUUCAUAUAUGUUUCUUCACAAACCUUGUAUAACGUGCUUUUCAAAGAUUCACAAUCAACCAAAGGGUAGCAAUUGUUCGAUCUGGCUUUUAUGCAAUAAAAAUGCUCUUCUCAAUUCAAUACAUAUACAUAUACAUAUAUAUAUAUACUUCAAGACAUGAUUUUAUAAAACCAAAGAAAAUAUAGUACUACUCACCUUGUCGUCUAUGACCAAACGACAAAUGAUACUUGCAUCGUCGAACUCAAGGCCCUAUCAAAUAACCGAAGAAUAAUGUUAAAAUCUAAUAAAAUUUUAUCUCGACUACAAAAUGACUAAGUUACACCUUAACUCUAACAAAAGGACUUCUGCGUGCUAACAAGUUGCAUAACCAAAGCGAUUGUUCAAGCCAUUCGCAACAUGAAGUUUAAGCGCAAAACUUGAUCGAGCCUUAACUCUCUCUUCCAAACCCCGAUCCAAACGUACUUAUAGUCAAUAGAGAGCCCUUGACACAUAUUGCAAGAAUCUCAACUUCACCGUCCCAAAAUCAAGCCAAAAAAUGACAAAAUACGGGCCAAAGCUGCUGGACGCGUACUGUUCACUGCGCACGGAAAACUUUGAAAUUUUGUUUCGGACAAACCAUAAGCUCAAAUCAUGAUCCGUAAAAUCUCACGGCUCCACAACACCCUAAACUACCAUUUCUACAAAAAUAUGCGGCUCAACGACUCUAAAAUCAGAUUUCGCCGCUCAAUUUUCCAAAAAUUUCGAAUUUGAGUCCCAAAUUCAAAAAUUACUUCAAUUGGAUGAACGAGGGACUCGAUCUCUUACCGGAUGCUGCGUUAUGGAGUCGAGUCGGCUUGGUGAGGUAUCCGAGGCGUGCACAUGCCAAAACUCCUUUCCUUUCUUCCCCUUUCUCUUCUUCUUCUUCUUCUUCUUCUUCUUCUUCUUCUUCUUCUUCUUCUUCUUUUCUUUCUUUUCUUUUUGGUCGAGGAAACUCUCAGCUUCUAUUUAGCCGAGCCCUCUCCCAUCUCUUUUUUCUUUUUUCUUUUUUAUUGCGUUUUUAGCUUUUCGACUUCUUUUUCCGUUUCUUCUUUUGGGGCCUUUAAAACUUCUUUUUCUGUUUCUUCUUUUGGGGCCCACUAGCCUAAUGUUACAUGGCCCAUCAGGCAUCGGGUUUGAAGAGUAGGUUAUUAGGAUCUUGAGUUCUUUCCUUGAUAUCUUGAGUCCUGAAUAUGGGAAUGGUGUUGGUGGUGGUGGAAGUCAAAUCAGAUUCUAGAAAAUGUUGAGUCCUUUCAAGUGGCGGAAAUUUAUUUCCAAAAUCUGAGUGAAGAUUUCUAAUGGAUUAAAAAAAUUCUAUAUUAAAUCAUGUUUCUAAACAACGUCAAAAGGCAAAAGAUGAAGCAGGUAUUUUACCAGCUAAUUUCCGACAAGACAAACGGCUCAAACGUAAUUCAUUAUGCAGAAGCUCCCUGAGACAAAAGGAUCACUUGAUUUUUUAUGGUUCGUUCUCAAAGCAGAUAUGUUCCAGACUUUUUACAAAGAUCAAUUGAUCAAGCGUAUUGGGAAAGUGAGCUUCAAUGAGCUUUAGAGUUUUGACCAUUGAAAAGGGGAAUUUUUUUUUUUGGUAAGGUUGAAAAGGGGAAUUUUUCUAUAUCAAUCAUCUUGAAGUUGGCAUAGGGUGUUUCUAUCAGUUACUCAAAUCUCUUUUAGCUAUUGUUGAAGCAAGCGUCAUUUGACUUGAUUGGUCGAAUUAGGCGGAAUCCACACGUGUAAUCACCUCACCUUCGUGUUCUUUUGGACUUACCCAAUGAAGCACAUAUUUCUAUUUCUCCAGCAAUUAUCUAAUGCACAUGGUGUCACACCUUAAAACUACAAAGAAUGGGGAUGACACGGUCGUCCUUCUUUACAAAGGACGCAGCCUCAAACACAACCAACAGACUGAUAUUAACUUAUAUAUCUCAAACCAUAUAUUUAUCAGAUAAACCAACAAAUUGGUUGCAACAUCAGAGUCUCUAUAAUCCACCAAAAAGAGAAAAUAGAUAUACGUUUAAAACUCAGACGAUCCAACUACUAGUAAGUAUCAUUUGCACCACUUCCUUAAACCAUAUCAAAAACAAAAUAGAACUCCCCAAAAGUUUCCUACUGAUGGCACACUCGCUCUAUUCGCCGCUAACUGAGGAACCUGAAAAGAUUAAAGGAGGAGUGGAAUGAACAACAAUAGCUCAGUGAGUAGUACAUAUCUUCUAAGCAGAUUGAACUACCACUAUACAUGUAUACAAAGCAAUACCAAACUUCAUAACGCCAACUCAAUAUAUAAAAUACAUAUUGAAUCUUAUAUGAGUUAUUUCUUAUCAUCAAAGUUUUAUACUAAUAUGGAAAACUCAUUUAAAUCGCCAUCAAAAGUCAAGUAUCAAUGGUUGAAUCCAUUGAAUAAUCUCCAUCAAAAACACAUAUCAAUGGUCUAUCCAUUGAUCAAUCUUUUGCUCAAUAACUAACCAUGGUCACGACACAACGUCUUGUGACAAGGCGACCAAUAUUCUCCCAUUGGCAAGGUCUCCACCUACAAAACUGAUGGUUGGGCCUAGAAGGAUAUUCUAAACUUGGUAUGCAUACCCCAAAAACCCCUCACUGGGUUCACAAUUAUAUUGAGCAUAAAUAACCAUUCUCCAAUACUAGAAAUCAAAUCCAGAAAUCGAUAUCUUAAACCAAAUAAAUAACAUUUUGCAACAUAGCCCAUCAUCCAUUUCAUAUCCGUUUCUCAAAUCAUCAUAAACAUUUUCAUAAAUUAGUCACAAAGCAAUUUCAUAUAUGUUUCUCCAGAAACCUUGUAUAACAUGCUUUUCAAACAUUCACAAUCAACCAAAGAGUAGCAAUUGUUCGAUAUGGCUUUUUAUGUAAUAAAAAUGCUCUUCUUGAUUCAAUAUAUAUACAUACAUACUUCAAGACACGAUUUUAUAAUACCAAAGAAGAUAUAAUACCACUCACCUCGUCGUCUACGACCAAACGACAAACGAUACUUGUAUCGUCGAACUCAUGGCCCUAUCAAAUAACUGAAGAAUAAUGUUAAAAUAUAAUAAAAUUCUAUCUCGACUACAAAAUGACUAAAUUAUGCCUUAACUCUAACAAAAGGACUUCUACGCGCUAACAAAUCGCAUAACCAAAGCGAUUGUUCAAGCCAUUCGCAACACGGAGUUUAAGCACAAAACUUGAUCGCGCCUUAACUUUCUCCUUCGAAUCCUAAUCCGAACAUAUUUAUAGUGAAUAGAGAGCCCUUGACACAUAUUACAAGAAUCCCAACUUGACUGUCCCAAAAUCAAGCCGAAAAAUGACAAAAUAUGGGCCCGAAGCUGCUGGAUGCGUACUGUUCACUCGCGCGGGAAACUUUGAAAUUUUGUUUCGGACAAACCAUAAGCUCAAUCACGAUCCAUAAAAUCCCAUGGCUCCACAACACUCUAAACUUCAAUUCCUACAAAAAUACACGGCUUAGCGACUCCAAAAUUAGACUUCGCGCUCGAUUUUCCAAAAAUUGAAUUUGAGCCCUAAAUCCAAAAAUUACUUCAAUUGGACGAACGAGGGGCCUAAUCUCUUACCAGGUGCUGCGUUAUGGAGUCGAGUUGGCUUGGCGAGGCGUCUGAGGCGUGCACGUGCCAAAACCCCUUUCCUUCCUUCCCCUUUCUUUUCUUCUUCUUCUUCUUCUUCUUCUUCUUCUUCUUUUCUUUAUGGUCGAGGGCCCUCGAGGGCCCUCAGCUUCUAUUUAACCAAACCCUCUCCCCUCUCCUUUUUGCUUUAUCGGCUUUUUAGCUUCUUUUUCUAUUUCUUCUCUUGGGGCCCACUAACAUAAUAUUACACAUGGGAUGGGGGUACUAACACAUCUAAUAGGGAUGGGAUUAGUUGGGCACGCAAAAAGUCCUAGAAAUCCAUUGCUACAACAAAAGAAUUCGAGGAAUUUGAAACAAGUGACUUUUCCUUUGUCUAGCUUGAAGAGAGAUUCUUCUAUGCCUCAUGAAUGUGACAUUCCUAUUCAUCAAAAUCAAUCACCACAUGUUGAUUAUUGUAAAUUGCCUUAUUUUCUUUUAAAAUUAAAAAAAAAUUGCAUAGACAAUGACUAGAUUGAUUGGUCAGAUCAUCGUUAAAUUGCUUCCUCAAUAGGUGCAUUGAUUGUUGAUCCUAAACUAAACUUAAGAGCUUACACUUCUUUGUGCACACAAAGUUUCAAUCUCUUAUGAACUUGAUAAUAAUGGUCAUAGAACUAUAAAGUUUUUUUUUUAAUUGAGAGGUGUUGAAAAUAAUAGUCACCAACAACAGUAGGCACAUCAAAAGAAGUCUCUAUGGGAAGGUUACACCAUUGUUCCAAAUUCUAAUCUUGAUUAAUGAUGUGACAUCUUCAUUGGGUCUUGAAGUGUCUGUUUAAUUCUCUUUGCUCCAUAGCUAGCAUAUACUAAUUCAAUUUGGAUCAACCGGUUUUACGACUAGAGUGCAAAACGGAAAGAUGAAAUAUAGAUGCCCCUCGGAGAUACCCUAAUUAUAAAUUUCCAAUCAUAACAUUAGGCAAGAUAAAAAUUUGCCAAAUUGAUUGUGACAACCUCUAUAGGGAAUAGAUAAAAAUGCCCUAAUUGUGCACACGACAAAAUGAUUGCCCCCAUCACUAGACAUGGACGGCCCAAUGUUUUACAAUAUUUUACCAGCUAAUUUCCAGCAAGACAAACGGCUCAAACGUAAUUCAUUGUGCAGAAGCUCCCCGAGAUAAAGGGAUCACUUGAUUUUUUCUGGUCCGUUCUCAAAGCAGAUCUGUUCCAGACAAUCAAUUGAAUAUCCACGUAAUUAAGUGAAAUAGUGGCUUUUGUCUCAAUUUUACUGGUUUUCCUAAAUUAUCCAUAUAUGAAAUAUUAAAGAGUAAAAAAAAGAUAUAAAUUACAUUUUUGAUAAUAUCCCACCUUCAUUUGGUUCCUCCCGUAACUAUCCAUUUGCACCUACUCUUAUAUUGACUGACAAGAAAGUUAUGUUGUACCAAAAAGCACCAUCUCUUUAACCCACUGUCUGCACCUUUGACAGUCACAUGGAAUUCUCUUCUAUGAUCUCCGCUUCUUAUCAUCAUUCUCUUAUUAUUUUUAACGACGAAAUUCACUCUAUGACUGAAAUUUUAUCAACUUACAAAUAUUACUCAUGUAUAUUACAAAAUUCAAAUUAAAAUAAGCAUCACGAUUAUUAAGCCCGCGCACGCACGGUGCGUACAAACAAUCACCCAAUUCCAUGCACAUACAUAGCUCCUUUUUAAGCCAAAGAGAAGAGAGAAUCACUUGCAUCUUGAUUGAGUUGUUGUUACGAUACACGGACGCGUAAGCUCUAUGCUUUUCUCGUUAUGAAGGUUGAACUUCCUUAAAAGAUUACAUUAUCAUCUUCUGGUUUAGGUACUUAUUAUUGCCCUAUUGGUGAAUUAGCUGAUGCUUUUCUCCGCGUCGUCAGGAUAUAAUAUGCACAUAUUAACGUCAUGACAGGGACAACUGAUUUGUCUCCAAUCCGGCGACUUCCAUAUCGCUGAACUUGGACGUGAACUUUGGCACCCUUACAGUAGUUGUUGGAAUAGUCUAAUGACAAGAACCUGGAUUGGUCCGAAUUGAUUGAUUUGGCUUCUCUAGGAGCCAGCCCUUGAAUUAAAGUCUAUCAACCCCAGGCGUAGACUUAUAUUAGUCGAUCCAAGCUGAAAUUGAAGUGUCCCGUUCAUAGAUUGCAUUAGCAUGUCGGGACUCCAACAGCCGGCGAUUAGCUGGAUUCCUAAGAAAGAUCCAGCAGCAUAUUGUGACUGGUUGAUAAUGGCUCAAGGAAUUUCCAAACAAAAGCAAAGCAUAUGAUGGGCCAUUUGUCUCUUGGGGAUUGGACAUUGCUGAUUUUUUUUUUCUAAGAUCUUUAUGUUGGAGAUUUCGAAGUCGUUAAUUUUCAGAAUAUGUGUUUAGCAUUUCUUAAUUCAACUUUUCAAAUAAGCUAAAAGUCAUUUUGAGACCUUUGUAUUUCCAAACUAUUUUUUGAGAUCCAAGUUUAGCGCACAUCGAAUUAUCCAUAUCUAUAGACCUUGAUCCUUGUGCCAAGAACCAAGGAGAGUGGCGUAUUAGCUGUGGACUAGGAUCCUUAUGUGGAUGAUCCAGGGUCAAUUUACACAUCCAUGUAUUGGAAUCUCUAGGCUCCCGAGAUUAUAUAUGAGGCACUAAGUAGGACACCGAGGUCUCGUCUUGCCUUGUUGUCUAGUGGCGUGUGUUGGGGUCUCAGGUUCAAGGCACUGACGUUCUUAAUCCAAGAGGUCUUGAGACUAAGCAUUGAAGUCUCGAAUUUGAUCCAUAAGGGCGUGUUUGGUAACGUUUCUGUUGCCCGGAACAAUUUCUAAGCAUUUUAAGCUGUUUGGUAACUGUCCAAAAUUUCAAUUCUCAGAAUAGAAUUGCGUUUAGUAUAGUGCUCAAAAUUUCUACUCCAAAUCAUUUUCUUUUAAUUUUAAAUUUUUUUAAAUUUUUUUUCCUUUUUUCUUCUUUUCUUUUUUCCCUUUCUUUCUCAUAUUCUUCUUCUUCAAGUGGCCAAUUGUCAACAGGUUGGUCGGCGACUGGCUAGACGAGAGUUGGCAACCUCACCGGAGCGUUGCCAACCCUUGGCGAGGACGGCCAUUGUCGGCCGAGCCUCGCUGGCAGCUGGGCAAGGCUCGGCCGAGCCUCAGCGGGGCUGGGGGAGGCCUGCUUGGCCACCGACGAGGCUCGCCCAGCCCCUUCGAGCCUCAUCGAACUAGUUGCUGGUGAUUGGCGACGGUGGGCGGCGGAUGGCGAACGGCAACCACGACGGUGGCAGUAGAUGAAGAAGAAGAAAAGGGAAGAAGAACAAGAAAAAAGAAAAAAAAAAGAGAAAUUGAUUUUAGAAUUGUUCCCAAGAACAAUAAUCAACCUUUUUUAUUUUUAUUUUUAUUUAUUCUUGAUUCUGUUCCAAAUCUACUUUUGGGAACAAAAAAAUAGAAAUUUGUUUCCGAGAAUAAAAUUUUUACUAAACACGAUUCUAUUCCAAAAUUGCUCAUGGGAACAAAAGAAUAGAAAUUUUUACUAUUUGGCCAGUUAGGGUCUGUUUGGUAACCAUCCCAACAGUGCCAAAUUCUGAUUCUUUGUUCCCGGAAUCAGUUUCGGCCUAGAAUCGCGUUUGGUAAAUUUUUUGUUCCCGGGAACAGAUUGGGAAUAGAAUCAAGAAUAAAAAAAAAGUUUNNNNNNNNNNNNNNNNNNNNNNNNNNNNNNNNNNNNNNNNNNNNNNNNNNNNNNNNNNNNNNNNNNNNNNNNNNNNNNNNNNNNNNNNNNNNNNNNNNNNUCUUCAAGUGGCCAAUUGUCAACAGGUUGGUCGGUGACUGGCUAGACGAGAGUUGGCAACCUCACCGGAGCGUUGCCAACCCUUGGCGAGGACGGCCAUCGUUGGCCGAGCCUCGCUGGCAGCUGGGCAAGGCUCGGCCAAGCCUCAGCGGGGUUGGGGGAGGCCCGCUUGGCCACCGACGAGGCUCGCCUAGCCCUUUUGAGCCUCACUGAACUAGUUGCUAGUGAUUGGUGAUGGUGGGCGGCGGAUGGCGAACGGCAACCACGGCGGUGGCAGUAGAUGAAGAAGAAGAAAAGGGAAGAAGAACAAGAAAAUAAAAAGAGAAAUUGAUUUUAGAAUUGUUCCCAAGAACAAGAAUCAACCUUUUUUAUUUUUAUUUUUUUAUUCUUGAUUCUGUUCCAAAUCUACUUUCGGGAACAAAAACAUAGAAAUUUAUUUCUGAGAACAAAAUUUUUACUAAACACGAUUCUAUUCCAAAAUUGCUCAUGGGAACAAAAGAAUAUAAAUCGUUACCAAACGCGCCAUUAGCAAACAUGACCUAAGCAAGCACCCAAAGGUCAUGGGUCUGGGCAACUGGGACCUAAGUCCAACCACAAGGUUCUAUGUUUGGUAGCCAAAGUCUCAUCUCUUCAUGGAUUCAACGGUUUGAGUUUUGAGUUAAGAUGCUGAAGGCUUGGUUCAACCCUAGGUGCUAGGGACGGCGCUCAUUGUUCCCAAGUUGAUGACAUGGGAUGCAUGUUUUUAAAUAUUAUGAUUUUUAUUUAUUCUCUUGUCUUUCUUUAUUUUAGAAAUUAUUUUAGGAUACUGGAUGAUUUGUUUCAAUAGUUAUCAUUUACAUAUUUAAGAUAUCGUGGGAUAGAAUUUCUUAUUAGUUUACAUAUUUCCUAUUAUGAAAUUAGAAUUUCCUAAGUGUUUUAGAUAUAAAUAUGCAUUGUGUUUUUCUUGUAAUUUGGCUUAUUUAUUGAUGAAUAAAGGAAAAUUUUCAAAUGAGGGCAUAUGGUGCUCUCAUUUUCUCAAAUAAGUGCCCGAAGUAGCCGUUAUUUUAAAUAAGGGCUAGAAAAAAAAUGAAUUGACCAAAUUCUCUCGAAUAAGGACUUUUGGCUAGCCAUUGACUAUUCUGUCAUUGGAGAAAGGGUAUUUUAGUAAAAAAAAAAUUCUAAGUAUAUAUUUUUUAUUUUUCUCUCCUUGCCAUGCCUCAAGUGAGGGUUGCCUUUGCUGGCGUUGGGUGAGGGUGAAGGUUGCCCUUGUUAGCCCAAGUGAGGCGAUCCUUGCCCAAUGCUGGGGAGGAGGAGCCGUUGCUUGAGUCCAGCAACUUGAUGGAAAAUGGGGAAAAAAGAAAAAGAAAAUAACAAAAAAAAGAAAAAAAAAAAGGAAUUUUUGUAAAGAUGAAAAUGCCUUUCAAUCAGCAAGGUUAGCCUCUUCUUUGAGACCAAUAUGGCUACUUUAGGUAUUUAUAUGAAACAAUUUCACUUCAAGCUCUUAUUUGAGAAAAUUAUAGCACUUCAAGCCCUUAUUUAAAAUAAAGUCUACUUUAGGCCAUUAUAUGAGAGAAAAAAAAAAAGGAACACUUUAAGCCCUUAUUUGGAAUUUUCCCAUGAUUUAAUGGAAAAAUAGUGAGGUUUUCUUUGUAGCAUUUCGUGUAUGUGCAUCAAAAUGCAUAUCAUGAGUGUUUACUUGUGUUAAGGAAUUCCCAUAUAUGCUAUCACUCAUUUAGGUUAUGUUGGGCUAUCAUAGGUGUUGUCUAGGCAUCACUUGUCUAGCAGUAGUGCUUGUUCAACACUUGUUGCUCCAUAGCUUGCAUAUAAACUAAUUCGAUUUGGAUCACCAUUGGGUUUUUAUUUCUUAACCAUACCAAUUUGCUUCUUAAAUUCACCAAUUUAUCGAAAGGUUGAAAAAAUAAAAUCCAUGCCUAAUAAUUAGGGAAAAUAAAAGUUUAAUAUCAUCUCUGGUAGGAGCUGGAUUUAUAGUGCCACUAGUGAGCAAUUUCACCCAAAAGAACAUGUUUAAUUGAGAAACCUUGAACCGACACAAACAAGGAAAGGAUUACCCACAAAGGGCAAGACAGAAAAGGUGAAAUAUAGACUCCACCUUAAAAAAAAAAACCCAAUUAUAGAUUCACCAUCAUAGCAUCCAGCCAAAAGAUGGAAAAAGGAAGGAACCCCAUCGAUUGCGACAAUCACCAUCGGAAAAUAGAUAAGCUUCGCACAACUUGUGCACUCCACAAAAUGAUUGCGCCCAUCACAAGUUAUGGAGCGCCCCAAUGUCAACAUCUUUAGGGCUAGAACGGCUUAAUUGAUAAGAAAUCAUCUUGAUUAUCAUCAAGACAACGUUGGCCUAAGAAAUCGAGUCUGAUUGGGAUUUGGAAAAAAAAUGCAUAUAUUCGCGUCGAUAAUGAAAUUUUACGCGCGUGGGUAACAUUUUCAAUGGUGGGAUUGGUGUAGGUCUGCGCAUCCAGAAAUGAUUGUCACGACAAUGAGUCUUUAUCUUGAUAUUGAUUAAGUUUAACGAGUUUUUAUAAAGAGUCAAAUGAUUUUUUUUUUUUUUAAAGCAAAGGAUUAAUCAUUAUUUGAUGCCUAGGGGGCCGGCAAACACAGAGAACGAGGAGACAUCGCCAUAGAAAAAGUUGGUACCUUGAUUUGAUGGAUUUUUUCAUACUACGCACAUCAACCGUUCACGUACUCCAAAGGCGGGGCCUCUCAUGCUCCGAGUCAUGAAAUACCCACAAGAAUUUAUUUGCUUUGUCACUAUAUUAUUUAUCACCUAUGUAUGUAUUUAUGCAUCAACAUAGGUGAAAAUCAUCAUAUAUAAACCGAACCACUAUGAGUCAAAUCAUUUCAUACAUAUAUAUAUAUAUAUAUAUAUAUAUAUAUAUAUAUAUAAAGUAUGUUUGUUUUGUGAUUUUUGUUCUAUUAAGUUAAUGUAACAUGUACAAAAGGCGAUCGUCCGACGAGUUUGAGAUUUUACAAAACACAAGCUAAAUUGUUCCCUCUAGUCAAUUUCAAAAGAGUUGGAAUAUUGCAAACUUAACGAAUUUUUAUUUUCUUCGAAAAACAGAACACCAUUUGUCCGCACAACAAGAGGAGACAUUACCAAAUUUUGUGGACAUGCUUUGUCCGAGACCCAGCCCAUGUCCAGCAGCCCAGAUUGUGAUGGGUCCAGCCUGGACAGGCCCAUGGGGUGGCUGAUGGGCCUUGUCAAACACUAUUCAGUUGCUCUCCUAAGCUACAUAAACGAUCAACGAUAAAAUUCAAUGUCACAGGACAAGUUUCUGUCGGGCACAAUGCAAAUAAUGAGGUCCUAGAAUUAUAUAAUUGCUUUUGAGAUGCGAAGUUCUCAUUUAUCUAAAUCAAUCGUAGCAUGGCAAGUGUUACCAACUUCCUUAUCUUCUUUCAAGAUUAAUAAUAGUAUUUUUCCACAUGAUGAUCCACUUGGAUGGAUUGAAAUGUCAUACUUUGAGAGCACAUAAUUUUUUUUUUAGUAGAUAGAUAUUUUAUUCCUUCUCCUGUUUGCAUUCUAAUAUAAAAAUAUGAAUGCCGCUACCCAAUAUGCUUUCCACUUAAUGAUUGGAGCGUUGAUCUUGUUGUAAAUGCUAGAUCAUCAACUAGGCCGUCUUAAUAAAGAUUAGUUGAAGUUUGCUAUACUUAAGCUCUUUGUGAGGUGCCCAAAACGAGCUCCAAAUUGCAUAAAGACCUUCGACACGAGCCUGUAAUUUGAAGAGACAGUCGACGUGACCCCAAGUUUUGUAUAUUUGUAAUCUUAACGCAUGUAUGUUGUGGACCUACUUGGUCACAUCCCAUAUGCUUGGGUUCUGUCAUGUUCAAUUGGAUGUCACCAUAUCCAAGUUUGUCAUAGCUGUCGACCUAGACUAGGUAAGAACCACAUCAAUUUGCUUCAGUCGGUCGUGAGUAAAUUAUGAGCUGGGAUAAAUGCAAGUGAAUCUCAAGUGAUGCACUGGAGAAAAUAUUUGGAAAUGCCAUCGAACCUCACCUUUUGUCACUUCUAAGUAGUUAUUGAAUGAUCGGGAACGCCUUCUGUCACACCCGAAAACUACAAGAAUGGGGGAUGACACAGCCGUCUAUCCACACGAGGGACGUAGCCUCAAACACAACCAAUAAACUGAUAUCAACUUUUAUAUAUAUAUAUAUAUCUCAAUUAUAUAUAUACAUAUCAGCUAAAUCAAUAAAUUGGUUGCAACAUCAAAGUUUCUAUAAUCCACCAGAAAAGAUAUACGUUUAAAACUUAGACAAUACAACCACUAGCAAGGAUCAUAUGCACCACUUCCUUAAACCAUACCAAAGAAAAUAAAAAUAGGACUCCCUAAAAGUUUCCUACCAACGGCCCUCUCGCUCUAUACGCUGCUAACCGAGGAACUUGAAAAGAUUAAAGGAGGAGUGGGAUGAGCAACAACAGCUCAGUGAGUAGUACAUAUCUUCUAAGCAGAUCGAACAACCAUUAUGCAUGUAUAUAAAGUAAUACCAAACUUCAUAACGCCAACUCAAUAGAUAAAAUACAUAGCAAAUCUUAUAAGAGUUAUUUCUUAUCAUCAAAGCUUAAUAAUAAUAAUAUGGAAAACUCAUUUAAAUUGCCAUCAAAAGUCAAGUAUCAAUAGUUGAAUCCAUUGAAUAAUCUCCAUCAAAAACACAUAUCAAUGGUCUAUCCAUUCAUUCAUCUCAUAUCAAACACACAUCGAUGGUCUAUCCAUCGACCAAUCUUUUGUUCAAUAACUAACUAUGGUCAUGACACAACGCCUUGUGACAAGGCGAUCAAGAUUUCCCCUUGGCAAGGUCUCUACCUACAAAGUCGAUGGCUGGGCCCAGAAAGAUAUCCCAAACCUAGUAUGCAUACCCCAAAAAGCCCUCACUGGGUUCACAGUCAUAUUGAGCAUAAAUAACCAUUCUCCAAUACUAGAAAAUCAAAUUCAGAAAUCAAUAUCUUAAACCAAAAAAAUAACAUUUGCGGCAUAGCCCAUCAUCCAUUUUAUAUCCAUUUCUCAAAUCAUCAUAAACCUUUUCAUGAAUCAAUCACAAAGCAAUUUCAUAGAUAUUUCUCCACUUACUUUGUAUAAUACACUUUUCAAACAUCCACAAUCAACCAAUGAGUAGCAAUUGCUUGACCUGGCUUUUAUGCAAUAAAAAUGCUCUUCUCAAUUCAAUAUAUAUACAUAUAUAUAUAUAUAUAUAUAUAUAUAUAUAUAUAUAUAUAUAUAUAUAUACUUCAAGACAUGAUUUUUACAAAACCAAAGAAGAUAUAGUACCACUCACCUCGUCCUCUACGACCAAAUGACGAACGAUACUUGUGUCGUCGAACUCAAUGCCCUAUCAAAUAACCAAGAAAAAUGUUAAAAUCUAAUAAAACUCUAUCUCAACUACGAAACAACUAAAUUACGCCUUAACUCUAACAAAAGGAUUUCUACUCGCUAACAAUUUGCAUAACCAAAACUAUUGUUCAAGCCAUUUGUGACGCGGAGUUUAAGCGCAAAACUUAGUUACGCAAUAACUUUCUCCUUCGAACCCCGUUCCGAACGUACUUAUGGUCAAUAAAGAGCCCUUGACACAUAUUACAAGAAUCCCAACUUGACUGUCCCAAAAUCAAGCAAAAAGAUGACAAAAUACGGGCCCAAAGCUGCUGGACGCGUACUAUUCAUUGCGCGCGAGAAACUUUGAAAUUUUGUUUUGGAAAAACUUAUAAGCUCAAAUCAUGAUCCAUAAAAUCCCACGGCUCCACAACCCCUAAACUACCAUUCCUACAAAAAUACACGGCCUAACGACUCCAAAAUCGGACUUCGCUGCUCAAUUUUCCAAAAAUUCCGAAUUUGAACCCUAAACCUAUAAACUGCUUCAAUUGGACGAAUGGGGGGCCUGAUCUCUUACCGGGUGCUGCAUUAUGGGGUCGAGUUGGCUUGGUGAGACAUCUGAGGCGUGCAUGUGCCAAAACUCCUUUCCUUUCUCCUUCUUCUUCUUUUUUUUUUUUUUUUUGGUUGAGGACCCCUCAGCUUCUAUUUAACCGAGCCCUAACUUUUCAACUUCUUUUUAUAUUUUUUCUUUUGGGGCCCAGUAGCCAAAUAUUACAUUCUACCUUCCUAAAAAAAAAAUUCGUCCUCGAAAUUUACAUGUACUUCAAUCAUAAAACAAGUGAGGGUAUUUGUGUCAUGCCUCCUCCUCAAGUUCCCAAGUAGCCUCUCUCUCGGUGUGGUUUUGCCAUUGUAUUUUCACAUAAGGAAUAGUUCGUCGCCGCAACACCUGAUCCUUCUUAUCGACAAUGCAAAUAUGUUGUUCCUCAUAUGUCAAGUUCUCCCGUAAUCUCAAUGGAGUAAAGUCUAGCACAUGUUCAGGAUUUGCACAUAUUUCCGCAACAAAGAGACAUGGAACACAUUAUGGACACCUGAUAGUGCCGGUGGCAAAGCUAAUUUAUAAGCGACUUCACCAAUUUUCUCUAAGAUCAAGAAUGGUCCCAUGUACCUUGGACUUAACUUCCCACGUGUGUCAAAUCUCGUUACACCCUUCGUAGGAGAAACUUUUAAGAACAUGUGAUCCCCCACAUUAAAUUCUAACUUGUGUCUUUUUAGAUCAGCAUAACUUUUCUGACGAUUUUGAGCCGUUCUGAGACGUUCUCGAACCAACCUAACUUUCUCUUCUGACUGCUGGAUGAACUCAGAGCCAGUUAGUCUUUUCUCACCAACGUCAUCCCAAAAAAUAGGACUUCUACAUUUUCGCGCCAUCUUAAUACUGGAGUGAUAAUUGUUGUUAUAAGAAAAUUCUGCCAAAUAUAGAUGUUCAUCCCAAGAACCGCCAAAGUCAAUGAUGCAUGAUCUCAACAUAUCCUCUAAUGUCUGGAUCGUUCUCUCUGAUUGUUCAUCUGUUUGUGGAUGAAAAGCUAUACUUAAGUUGAGUUUAGUGCCCAAUGUUGCUUGCAAACUCUUCCAAAAGUUAGACACGAACCUAGGAUCCCUAUCAGAAACAAUGCUUACAGGAACUCCAUGAAGCUUCACUAUCUCAUUAACAUAUCGCCUUGCCAUAUCUUCCAUUGAAAGACCAAAUUGAUAUGACAAAAAGUGAGUGGACUUAGUUAAUCAAUCACUGUUCACCCAAAUAGAAUUCCUACCACUUGGCGUCCUCGGUAGACCAACUACAAAGUCCAUGGCAAUAUGCUCCCACUUCCAUUUAGGUAUCUUUAGAGGUUGCAACUAUCCACCUGGUUUAUGAUGUUCAAUUUUCACUGGCUGAUAAACUAAACAUUGAUCAACAAAUUUUAUAAUAUCAUUUUUCAUGUUGAUUCACCAAAAGUUUUUUCUCAAGUCCCUAUACAUUUUAGUGCUUCCCGGAUGAAUUGAAAAUCUAGUACUGUGAGCUUCUUGCAGGAUCUCCUUUUUUUAGCUUUGAGUCCUCAGGAACACAUAGUCGACCACGAAACAUCAAGGAUCCAUCUAUAUGUAAACUAAAUCUGCUUGUCUUCUAGCUUCCACAGCUUCUCUAAUUUUUUGUAAUUGUGGAUCUUCAUUCUGUUUAGCCUUAAUUAUGUUAAUCAACAUAGGUUGUACUUGAAGAUUAGCUAAUUGAGCACCAAGCUGCUGCACCAACACCUCUAAGUCUAACUUCCUCAUAUCUUCAAGAAUGGGUUUUUAAGAAGUGAGCAAAGCUACCAUAUUUCCAAAGGAUUUACGACUUAAAGCAUCCGCUACCACAUUAGCCUUACCCGGAUGGUAAUUAAUGGAUAAGUCAUUAUCCUUCAAAAGUUCUAACCAUCUUCUUUGCCUCAUGUUCAGUUCUUUCUGAGUAAAAAUAUACUUUAGACUCUUGUGAUCGGUAAAGGCUUCACAUUUUUCACCAUACAAAUGAUGCCACCAUAUCUUCAAGGCAAACACAACCGCCGCUAACUCCAAAUCAUGAGUGGGGUAGUUCUUCUCAUGUAAUUUCAAUUGUCUAGAAGCAUAGGUAACAACUUUGCUAUUUUGCAUAUGAACACAACCCAAACCUUCUUUGGAUGCGUCGCAAUAGAUUAUGAAGCCACCACUUCCAAAAGGUAGAGUUAGAAUAGGAGCCGACACCAGCCGUCUCUUCAACUCUUGAAAACUGCGUUCACAUUGGUCUGACCAUUCAAAUUUAACUUUCUUCUGGGUUAGACGGGUAAGUGGACUAGCAAUCUUUGAGAAUCCCUCUACAAAUCGCUUAUAGUAGCCGGCUAGCCCAAGAAAACUUCUCACUUCUAUAACAUUAGUUGGACGAUUCCACUUAACAACUACUUCAACCUUCUUUGGAUCCACUAAUAUGCCAUCCUUCGAGAUCACGUGACCCAAGAAUUCUAUAUGAUCAAGCCAAAAAUCACACUUACUAAAUUUGGCAUACAACUUCUUUUCAUGUAAAGUCUGCAAGACAAACCUCAAGUAUUGUUCGUGUUCCUCUAAACUCUUUGAAUACACUAGGAUGUCAUCAAUGAACACCAUAAUAAAUUUGUCUAGAUAUUCGUUGAACACUUUGUUCAUCAAGUCCAUGAAGGCAACAAGCGCAUUUGUUAAUCCAAAAGGCAUGACGAGAAAUUCAUAAUGGCCAUACCUUGUUCUAAAAGCAGUUUUAGGCACAUCAUCUAUUUUUAUCUUCAACUGAUGAUACCCAUAACGAAGGUCAAUCUUGGAAAAUACCUGAGCUCCCUGAAGUUGAUCAAAUAAAUCCUCAAUCUGAGGCAAAGGAUAUUUGUUUUUAACCGUUACCUUGUUAAGCUCUUGAUAAUCUAUGCAAAGCUACAUACUACCAUCCUUCUUUUUCACAAAUAGAACAGGAGCUCCCUAAGGCGAAACACUAGGUCUGAUGAAACCCUUAUCUAAAAGCUCUUCAGUUGCGUUUUCAAUUCUUUCAAUUUAGUGGGUGCCAUCCGAUAUGGUGCCUUAGAGAUUGGUGCUGUACCGGGCAUCAAUUCAAUACAAAACUCAAUUUCUCUAUCAAGAGGCAAUCCUGGUAAAUCCUCAGGAAACACACUUGGAAACUCUCUAACGACAGGAACAUCUUCCAACUUUACUACAACCUUAUGUGUGUCUUUUACACAAGCUAAAUAACCACAACAACCCUUUCUCAAAAGUUUCCUUGCUUGCAAAGCCGAGAUCAACCUUGGAGAAGUGUUUUGACAACUUCUCGAAAAAGAGAAUUCGGGUUGAUUCGAAAAUCUAAAUAUCACUUUUUUUGAAAAACAGUCAACAAUAGCACGAUAGGUAGAUCACCAAUCCAUUCCUAUAAUAACAUCGAAAUCUCGAAUAUUUAACUUUACUAGAUCCAGAGGCAUUUCAACAUUAUUAAUCUGAAUCACACAUCUCUUGAACACAUGAUGAACAACUAAGAAAUCGCCAGUAGGAGUAUCAACACACAAUUCACAUUCAAGAGGGUCAGGCAACACAUCAAGCUUCUUUGCAAAUUCAGUUGAAAUGAAGAAGUGCGUAGCACCAGGAUCAAAUAAGGCAUAAGCACAUUGUGAGGCAAUAGAAAUAUUACCUGCAACAAUUGCGUUAGAUGCUGCCGCAUCCUCCUUCGUCAUCGCAAAAAAUUUCUCACUUGUACUUUGUCUUUGUUGGUUCUCUUGGGGCCUACCAACGAAAGGGGUAUUCCUCCGCAUGGAACACUGGUGUGCUAGGUGGCCUUGUUGCCCACAUAGAUUACAUGAUCUAUUGCCAAUAGGAUGAUUCCUUUGUGUAGAACAAUCUCGCAGCAUGUGUCCCGCUUUCCCACAUGAGAAGCAUACUUCAGUUUUCCAAUGACACUCACUGCGAUGAUAACUUCCACAUGUAUUACAAGGGCCUUGGUUACUCGAAUUUCUGAACUAUCCUGGCUGGCUGAAACCUCUUCGCCUUCCACUACCAUCAGUAUGGCUACCUUGUACAUUUGUGGGCUUAAACCUUUUGGGUUGAGGCGCUCCUUGUGUGCCAUGCUUCAGAAUGCUUUGUUCCACCUUGAUUGUCCGUUCUAGCACAUCCUUAUAAGUUUUUAAUAUGAAAGGUGCAAGUGCAGAAUUAAUUUCAGGUCGGAGCCCUCCUAGGAAAUGGUCGUUCUUAUCUUCCUCAUUUGCUACCAAGUGCUAUGUAAAUGUACUCAACUGAUUAAAGCACCGUGGAGUCACCCUCAGAUAUAUGUACAAAGUCACCCUUCAUCUUUGCUUGGAAUGACUUUGGGAAGAAUUGAGCAUUGAACGCCUUUUUAAAGUCCUCCCAGGAUAUAAUAACAUCCCUACCUCCAAGACUUGGCUUCAUUCCAUCCCACCAAAACUCUACUUCACCUUCCAGGUAUUGGGUGGCAAAUUGAACUUUUCGAUCCACGGGAACCUCUUCAGCUUCAAAGAUCCCAUCAAUCUUUUUAAUCCAACGCUUAGUCGCAAGAGGAUCAGCUUUCCCAUCAAAAGUGGGUGGUUUUGCCUUUCUUAAAUGGCAAAAGUGCCUGAGCCAGUCACUCCAUCUCCAGUUAAUUCUUUUGCUUGUUGAUACCAAUGGAUCAUUGCUUGUUCAAAUUCAGUUGAACGGGUUGGCUCUUGAUCCUCUUCUUUGACUUCGCGCAAGUUAGGACUCCUAUUAUAGUGGUCCUCAAGUCUCCUUCUCAAAAACGCACCUCGAGAAGCUUGAGGCAUGUCUCUAGCCUCAGGGGUAGCGACUCGUUUGCCUUUGCGGCUCCUACGAAGCGAGGCAAGUGUCUCAAAGUUGGUACUCAUGAUCACCUGAAUCUAAUAAUGAAACUACACCUUAGAAUCUAGAAGACUAACGCAAAAAUAAAAUCUAUCACACAACCUCACAACAUCCCAUAACUACAUCCAAAAAGAUCAAAACUUAGGCUCUGAUACAAAAAAUGUCACACCCCAAAACUACAAAGAAUGAGGAUGACACGGCCAUCAUUCCACACGAAUGACGCGACCUCAAACACAACCAACAAACUGAUAUCAACUUAUAUAUAUCUCAAACCAUAUAUAUACAUAUAAGAUAAACCAACAAAUUGGUUGCAAUAUCAGAGUUUCUAUAAUCCACUAAAAAAAAUAUACGUUUAAAACUCAGACAAUACAACCACUAGUAAGGAUCAUGUGCACCACUUCUUUAAACCAUACCAAAGAAAAUAAAAAUAGAACUCCUCAAAAGUUUCCCACCAACGGCCCUCUCGCUCUAUUCGCCGCUAACCGAGGAACUUGAAAAGAUUAAAGGAGGAGUGGGAUGAGCAACAACAGCUCAGUGAGUAGUACAUCUCUUCUAAGCAGAUUGAACAACCAUUAUGCAUGUAUAUAAAGUAAUACCAAACUUCAUAAUGCCAACUCAAUAUAUAAAAUACAUAUCGAAUCUUAUAAGAGUUAUUUCUUAUCAUCAAAGCUUAAUAAUAAUAUGGAAAACUCAUUUAAAUCGCCAUCAAAAGUCAAGUAUCAAUGGUCAAAUCCAUUGAAUAAUCUCCAUCAAAAACACAUAUCAAUGAUCUAUCCAUUCAUUCAUCUCAUAUCAAACACAUAUUGAUGGUCCAUCCAUCGACCAAUCUUUUGCUCAAUAACUAACCAUGGUCACAACACAACGCCUUGUGACAAGGCGACCGAGAUUUCCCCUUGGCAAGGUCUCCACCUACAAAGUCGAUGGCUGGGCCCAGAAGGAUAUCCCAAAUCUAGUAUGCAUACCCCAAAAAGCCCUCACUGGGUUCACAGUCAUAUUGAGCAUAAUAACCAUUCUCCAAUACCAGAAAAUCCAAUCAAGAAAUCAAUAUCUUAAACUAAACGAAUAACAUUUGCGGCAUAGCCCAUCAUCCAUUUCAUAUCAAUUUCUCAAAUCAUCAUAAACCCUUUCAUGAAUCAAUCGCAAAGUAAUUUCAUAUAUAUUUCUCCACUUACUUUGUAUAAUACACUUUUCAAACAUCCACAAUCAACCAAAGAGUAACAAUUGCUCAAUCUGGCUUUUAUGCAAUACAAAUGCUCUUCUCGAUUCAAUAUAUAUAUACUUCAAGACAUGAUUUUUACAAAACCAAAGAAGAUAUAGUACGACUCACAUUGUCGUCUACAACCAAACGACGAACGAUACUCGUAUCGUGGAAUUCAAGGCCCUAUCAAAUAACCAAGAAAAAUGUUAAAAUCUAAUAAAACUCUAUCUCAAUUACGAAACAACUAAAUUACGCCUUAACUCUAACAAAAAGACUUCUACGCGCUAACAAUUCGCAUAACCAAAACGAUUGUUCAAGCCAGUCGUGAUGCGGAGUUUAAGCGCAAAACUUAGUUACGCAAUAACUUCCUCCUCCAAACCCCAUUCUGAACGUACUUAUAGUCAAUAGAGAGCCCUUGACAAAUAUUACAAGAAUCCCAACUUGACCAUCCCAAAAUCAAGCUGAAAGAUGACAAAAUACGAGCCCAAAGUUGCUGGACGCGUACUGUUCACUGCGCGCAAGAAACUUUGAAAUUUUGUUUCGGACAAACCAUAUGCUCAAAUCACGAUCCGUAAAAUCCCACGGCUUCACAACACCCUGAACUACCAUUCCUACAAAAAUACACAGCUCAACGACUCCAAAAAUGGACUUUGCCGCUGGAUUUUCUAAAAGUUCCGAAUUUGAACCCUAAACCCAUAAACUACUUCAAUUGGAUGAACGAGGAGCCUAAUCUCUUACCGGGUGCUGUGUUAUGGGGUCGAGUUGGCUUGGUGAGGCGUUCAAGGUGUGCACGUGCUAAAACUCUUUUCCUUUCUUCCCCUUUCUCUUCUUUCUUUUCUUUCUGGUUGAGGACCCCUCAGCUUCUAUUUAACCGAGCCCUCUCCUCUCUUCUUUUUACUUUAUUGACUUUUCAACUUCUUUUUAUGUUUCUUCUUUUGGGGCCCACUAGCCAAAUAUUACACCUUCCCACCGAGUCAAGUCAAUGUCGCCCCUACCAUCUUCUACGUCUCGACGUGAGGAAGUUAUUGUUGCCCGAGUGACACAUGUAAUGACGCCUUGAGGCCCUCCAUCUUUUCCUUAUCACAACUUGUCCCGUUCUUGCACCGAUUCCUCACUCCUAGUGCGUCCCACUUUCACCAGAUUUCUGAGGAAGAAAGGAAAAUGUCGAGCUCUCAGUGUUUUGAGAACCCACCAAACCUGAGCUCCACUUGCGGAGCAGGACACGUUGAAGAGCUUGCAGGUCUCAAGACUUACGUCACCGGCCCUUCCGAUUCCAAGCGUGCUGUUCUUCUCAUCGCCGAUGUUUUCGGUACUGGCCCAUUUCUUUAAUUUUGAUUUUGUGGUGUUUCUCUCAGUUGGGUCUUUUCUUUUGGUCAAUUAUGUAUAUCUCCUUGGUUCUUUGUCGUUCUUGUGCUUUUCGAUUGGUCCAUGAUAUUGCUGCUUGAUUGAUGAUCUUUGCUCAUCUGUUUGUGCAGGGUAUGAGGCUCCUAAGCUGAGGUAUGGAAUCUUUCUCAAGUUGUUCUAUGUAUAUGUUGUUCUCUAGUGCCAUCUUUUGACGUUUCAUGGUGAAUAAACUCUGUAUUCUCCGGAUAGCAUACAUUUGAAAGCUUUGCUUUUCCGUUCACCUUUCACCUGUGAUGACGAAGAGCAUUAGAUGGCACUUGAGGGCGAAGCCAGUUCAUUCUGGAUGAGUGUGUUUGGCGUUCUUCUGUUCCAAGUUAAAACAUCAUUUGUUGAAUUGUAUAUACACGCGGGACUUCAUGGCAUAGUCCAGCUGACAUUUUAUAUACAUCGCUUGAUUCAAUAUGAAUCACAGUUUUCUUUGUUCUAAUGAUUUCUGCUACUAAUAUGACUCAGCUGGUCAUGUAAUUCGGUUUCAUCUUGAGAUAGAGUUAUCCUUAGUUGCAACACCAAAAUCACAUAAGCUGGGGUUGCCUUCUUGACAGUCCCGGCAUAAUUCUAUGUUUUAACAAGAUUGAGAAUGAUAAGAGUUACCUUUUCAAAUUGUCAUACUUAUUUGCGGAAUGCUUUCGUUGUGUAGGAAACUCGCAGAUAAAAUUGCAUCCGCGGGAUUCUUGGUGGCUGUACCUGAUUUCUUUUACGGAGAUCCCAUUAUUGAUUUCACUAGUCCUAAUUUCAAUUUUGAAGCUUGGUUUAAGAAUCACGGCACGGUGAGUUUUUCACUCCUUCAGGCUGUGAAAGUGUGACAGUACAUUUAGAAGUUCAGAGGAAACAAGGGGCUUUCUACUGUGCAAACUUGAUUUGUAGACUCGAAUCACACGGUGUAAGUUGCAUUGGUAUUUAGACCUGGUUGGAGAUUGCUGGUCAUUUCAAAGAUUUUCGACGCCCAGCAAGAUCUUUAUUAUAUAAAAUUCCAAAUGCAAAACAUGAAACAGCAUAAGUAGAAUAAAAGCCUCAUGAAUUUUGAUGUUACCGACUUUUAGACAGUCUUUUUAUAAACGUUUACUUAAUUUGCUUCUUUAGGAUAAAGGGCAUGAAGAUGCCAAGCCAGUGAUUGCUGCUCUUAAGAGCAAAGGUGUGUCUACCAUUGGGGCUGCAGGAUUUUGUUGGGGAGGUAAAAUUUUCUGAAUUCACUUUCCCAGUUUUGAGGGGGUUGUUGGGUUAAGAAAUGGGAAAUUUGUUCUAGUUGGAAAUUGUGAUCCAUUUUCUCUAAAAAAAUCUAGAGCUACUAACUUAAUCAUUAAGGUGAGAACCUUCUAGAAUUGUUGAGAAUGGAGAUUGCUAGUUGAAUCUAGAAAAUUCACAUGGGAAUGCAAGCAAGCAACAGCCAAGCAUCAAAGAAAAUCCUAGAACAAGUAAGAGGAGUCUAGAGAAGUCCAUGCUUCAAGAGAAGUCUAGAAUUCUAGAAUGCUUCAAGAGAAGUUUAGAAUUCUCUAUCUUAUGUUAGUAGCUAUUUGUAGAGAAGUGUAGAGACUUCCUCCACCUACUUUGGCAGCCUAUAUAAAGGAGCAAGUGCUCCAUGUUUUGGUGAAAGGGAGCUAACCAUAAAAACCACAUCAUGCUCCCUCACCAACACUUCCUUCAACUAUUGUAAAAUUAUUUUAUCCAACUAAUGAAACUAUUUUUGUCCCAUAAACCUUCUCAAAAUAUCCCAUAUCCCAUGUUCUUUAUCCUUUAAUUAUCCUAAUUUAUCCCUUGUCCAUCCUCUACAAACUAUAUCAUACACUUGCACACAACAUCACUAAUAAAAAACUAUCAUCAAUACCAAAACCAUACUUCCGCGCAUAUUUAUAUUUUUAACAGUUCUACAUUGACCAUUGAGAAACUAGUUUUGUUGACUUGCAGAAAAGUUCUUUCAAGUUGUUAAAAAGAGCUUGCCUAUUCUUUUCAGGAGUGGUGCUGGUGAAAUUAGCAGGCACUGAAGACAUUCAAGCAGCAGUUAUUCUGCACCCCGGUCCUAUGACCGAAGAUGCAAUCAAAGGUAAAGCUAUGCCAAUAAACAUGGACUUGCUAUUUUCUUCUCAGCCGCAGCGAUAUAAUUUCUUCAUGAGGGUAUAAGACUUGGUACUUGGCACGGGAGCCUUUAUCGCCUAUUAUGAAAUGCUCAUGAACAAUUAAAUUAUAUGAAUUCUGAUGGGAGUCUGCAAUGCAGCCAAGAGUGACGAAGAAACUCGCUAUAACAUGUCCGGUCAAUCACAAAAAAUCGAUGGCACGACUUUUGUCUACUUGAGAAGUGUUCCUUAAACUGGAAGCCUUAAAAGACCUUAUUUUCUUCUGUUCUUUGUUCAGCUGUCAAGAUUCCAACUGCUAUAUUGGGAGCUGAGAUCGACCAUUCUUCCCCGCCGGAACAACUGAAAAAGUUUGGGGAGAUCAUGUCGGCUAAAACUGAAGUAAGCUUCUUAGGAUGCUUUUCGUUGGUUGCAAACCUAUUGUCAGAAAAUGCAAUCGUUUUUCCACGUUCCCAUCAUUUCGCUUGCAAAGCACUUUCCCUUCCUGGUUAUUUAUACACAUCGCUAAUUCAAAGACCCCGGUUUUGCAGUUUGAGAGCUAUGUGAAGAUAUUCCCUGGUGUUAGUCAUGGAUGGAGUGUGAGGUACGACGACGACAAUGAAUUGGUGGUCAAGAGCGCCGAAGAGGCCCAAGAAGACACUUUGAAUUGGUUCUUGAAGCAUGUCAAGUGAAGAGAACAGAAGGCAUUGAAGCAGAACAUUCUGACGGAAGCAGUAGAUGACAGUAUUGUGUGAGACGAACAGUUUGAGGACUAGUCAUCUAUUGUAAUAUCUGGCGAGGGAACAAUGUACUGUGCUGUUGAUACUUAGAGAAAUAAAGACAUUAGUUUCAUCGCUUAAACUUGGAAGAUUGAAAACGAAAUAUAUCGCCUAGAGUUGUAUCGUGGCGAUUUUCGUGGCGAUUUGGGUGCAUUUUCUAUUCGAAUUGAUCAGAGGUGUUCACUGUCCAUUAAAUGAGGACCACACAAUGGAAUAUGAAACAGCAUAUUCGUUUCCAAUCCCAAGGAUAUGUUAUUUGCAUGGUUACCACCAAGUCAUCAGCUAAAGUGGCUAGUAUCUAAUGUAAUCUCUAGACCACUUAAUUUUAAAUGCAUCCAUUAUAUUAUAAGUUAUAACUUGACAAGUAUGCGAGCAAUUAAGAUUUCAUUAAAAGAUACACGAUCUCAAAAUCGCAUGCCCCAAGAAAAAAAGAAGAAGAGAUGAAAGUAAGGAUAUGGAGAAAAAUAGUAUCCAAAAUAUAUGAGAAACCAACUAUUUGAACUUAUGACAAAAGCGAAGCGUUUGUUUUUGGUCAAGUCUAUAUGCUAGUAGGUCAAGAUUUUUCGAAACUAAGUCAGAUAGACAUGGAAAAAUUCGUCCUUCAUGUAUAUGGUAUAUAUUUUCGCAAUGUGCAUUUGUAUACUGACCAAAAAAUUUCAGCUUUUGGCCAGAUGGUGUUUUUUUGUGAGAGAACGCAUGUCUCCAUCGGGCUAAAUAUAUUAUGGUUUCGUCUUUGUUCGUUUCUCGUCUGUUUCUCACCGGCCCUCUUUCUUGUUUGACAUCAGCAGUGACGUUAAUACGAACCACGAGACCUUUGAUGACUAAUCUGAACCAUAAGAUUACACGGACACCUUUUUCAGACACUGUGAUAUUGUAUCGCGGAUAAGCCAAUGGUUUUCAGAAGGCAAAGCAUGAUUCCACUUAGCGACCAGUGAAUCACCGUAUCAUCUCUCGUCUCUUGGCUCUGUUCUUACCUCGGAAAGAAUAAAGAAACGAAGAAAAAGACCAUGAACAGUAAACAAUGAAAGAAAAGAGAAGAAAAGAUCAAAAUAUCUAUAAUUUUUUUCAAAACGACGUCGUUUUGAGUGGAGUUGUGCAUGUCAAUAUCACUAACCCUUGCCAUGUAAGAUGACAAGCAUUGAUUUGCACCUCUACAUCAGAAUUUCCUGACAUAAAUUAGUUGGAUAGACAAUAUUACAAAAUUGUUGAAAGGUUCAUGACUACACUAGCCGAAUUGGUCAGUUUAUUACAAAAUUGGAACUUGUACAAUUUGUUCACAGCUUUUGGGUAGUUUUUCCCAUCUUAAGUAAGUCGUAAUUCUAAUACAUGGACGCAUAAGCUCUAUGCUUUUCUUAUUAUGAAGGUUGAAUUCCAUUUGAAGGUUAGGUAAUCGUUUUCUGGUUUAGGUAUUUAUUUUUUGUCCUAUGGUGAAUUAGGUGAUGCUUUUUUCGCCUCGUUGGGACAGAGAAAACUGCUUUGUCUCCAAUCCGGCAACUUCCAUAUUGCUGAACCUGGACAUGAAUUUAGUAUCUGUAACACAAUUGUUGAAAUAACCUAAUGAAAAAACCUAGAUUGGUCGAAAUUGGUUGAUUUGGGUCAUCUAGGAACCGGCUUGUUGAAUUAAAGUCUAUCGAACCCAUUGGUUGAUCCAGGCUGAAAUUGGAUUAGUCCACUUAUCAAUUGCGUUAACAUGUCAGGGCUCAACAGCCGGCAAUUAUCUGGAUUUGUAAGAAAGAUCCAUGCAUAGCCGGUGAUGGGCCUUUCUCUCUGGGAAAUUGGACAUUGCUGAAAAAUGCUUUCAAAGAUCUUUCUAUUGGAGUUUUCGAAGUUCUCCAUAUCCACCAAAAAUGUUUAAUUUUUACUAGUUCAGAUUUUCAAAUGAGAUAAAAAAAAAAUCAUUUUGAGAUGUUUGCUUUCAAAAGUUUCUAAAAUAAGUUUCUAAAGAAAAAUACUCGAGUUUAGCGCACAUCAGACGAUCCCUUCCUCGAGACUGUGGAGUGGUUCCUCGGGUCCAAGAUUCGGGGACAAGGGGGUAGGUUUCCCAAGUUCAAGCACUGGAUUCUACGCACUCCCGAGGCUAAGUACGAGGCAUCGGAAGUAGGGGACCGAGGUCCCAUCUUGCUCUGUUACGUAGUGGCGAGUGUUGGGGUCCCUGGUUCAACGCACCAACGUCCCGAGUCCAGCUACUGAAGUUUCAGGACUAAGCAUGGUGGUCUUGAAUUUGACCCACAAGCACCCAAGAUAUUGGGUCCUAGCACUUGGUUCCUAAGUUCGACCCUAAGGUCCUAUGUUUCGCAGCUGAAGUUCCCUAUCUCCAUAGAUGAGGCGAUCGGGUUCUCGAAUUUAGAUGAUAAGGUCUUGGUUUAGCCUUAGGUCAAGGGCAUGGGGAUUGGGGUCCCAAGUUCAAGGUCGAUGACACGGGCGUGUAUUUUAAAUAUUAUAACUUUUUACUAAGUUCCUUGAUAUUUAACAUAUGCUAGGAUAGAAUUUCUUUGUAAUUUAAUUAGAAUUUCAUUAGUUCUUCAAAUAUGUUAAGUUUUCUUGUUAUAUAAAAUAUUGAGAGUUUUCCUCUGUUGCAUUCAUGUGUGUGCGCCAUCGUGUGUAGUGCGAGUGUUCACUUGUGUUGGCAAAUUGCCACUUGUGCAAUCACUCUUUUAUGUUACAUUAAACGGGUCCGGCAUUUGAGCACCGAUGUCUCAAAUUCAACCUUAAGAUGCAAAGCCCGGCCUGUCACACCCCAAAAACUACAAAGAAUGGGGAUGACACAAAGGUCCUUCUUUACAAAGGACGUAGCCUCAAACACAACCAGCAAACUGAUAUUAACUUAUAUAUAUAUCAGAUAAACCUUCAAAUUGGUUGCAACAUCAGAGUUCCUAUAUGUUGGAGAAAUCUUCCUGGAGUAUUUUGAAGCUGAUAAAACGUUUCCAUCAGUCUAGUCUGAAGAUUUGCAGACUCUACUAUUUAAAGUCUGAAGACCUCUGGACUGCCAGACUCAAGACUCAAAGUCUAUUCUCAUUGACAGUUUCUAAUCCGUCGAAGAAGGGCUAUCCAAGACUGGAUGUUUCGUUAAGGAUUUGACCUUAUCGACUGGAGAAGAUCGCUUGGCUAGAUAUGACAUAACGGAAUCCUUUAUUGACUCAAAGAUUGAGGAUCCGAUGAUUGGCGGAGUAUACUUGGAAGGUUCUACUUAUGGAAACCGAGAUCCUGAUUGUAUAGGCGAGCAGGAUUGAUGGGCUAUCGACAUGUUCCUUAAAUAGCUUGAAUGAUCUUCCUAAUUGAUUCUGUCAAACGGGAAGAUUGGAAGAAUUUAUUUGGUAAGUGCCGACGGGUAUGAUGGCAUAAAGGAGUAUAUAAGGAAGACGUUCCAGUUGUUCAAGUGUGUGUGCGAUAGAAGAAUUCCAAAGUCUGAAGCUCUUUGUUCUUAGUCAAUUCAUUUUCUGAGCAAAAUCUUGUAUGCAAAAGAGAGUCCAUAUUCUUGAGAAACCUUGAGGAAGUGUGCUAGAGUAUCUACACUGUGGAAUCAAGGGAAAGCCUUGCUGUAACAACUCUUUUGUUCAUAGUGAAAUCCAGCCGGUGGGCUGUCAAUGUGGAAGAGUGGACGUAGGCUUGGAAUAAGCCGAACCACUAUAAUUUCUGUAUUCAUUUUCUCUUCCCUACUCUCUGCUUUACUUUGAUCAUAAUUCGCUUUGUUAACGAAAGGAGAACUUCCUUUCUAUUGUCUGCUUAGUAUUGCUCUCUUAUCUCGAGAAAAUAUUUUUUACACCUAUUCACCCCCCUCUAGGUGCUUAUACUAGAUAUCUCAAUUGGUAUCAGAGCCUGUGUACUCACUUUGUUUGAAGUGUUUUACUUUAGAGUUAAAGAUCCAUGGCUAGUAUGUUAGCUCCAGGGCUAGUAGAAGGGCAAAGCAAUACCAGACCACCUUACUUUGAUGGAAAUGAAUACAACAUAUGGAAAAACAAGAUGAAGGCGUUCCUAAGAUCAAAGGAUCCUCUGGAAUGGGACGUUAUAGACAACGGAAUCAUUCCUAAAGCUGCACCUGUCUUAGAGAGAGGAAAAGAAACUGUUGAGUCUAGUGAAAUGACUUAGGAAGAGAUAACCAAGAGACAAGCUCUUGAUGCAAAAGUAAUUUAUUCUUUAUAUUGUGCUUUGUCACCUACUGAAUAUAACAGAUUAUCUUCUUGUGUUACAGUGAAAGAAGUUUGGGAUAGAUUACAUAUUACCUAUGAAGGAACCGAUCGAGUGAAAGAAACCAGAAUCAACAUUCUCCUCGGUCAAUACGAAACCUUCAAAAUGAAAUCAGGAGAAUCUAUAACUGAAAUUGUGAAUGGUCUUGAAAAUCAAGGUCAACCAAUUUCUGAUCCCAUGAAAGUAAACAAGCUACUGCGUGGACUCUCCAAGGAUUGGAAUCACAUAAAGACCUCAAUAAGGGAGACACAAAGAAUUAUGCCACUAUCUGUCGAUGAGUUAGUUGGGACUCUUCAGUCUUAUGAAGUGGAACGAAUCAAUGAAGACGAAGAUCCUAAAGGUAAGAAAUCCAUUGCAUUAAAAUCCAAUGAUGAUUAUGAUGUUACAGAUUCUGAAGACGAUAUGGAUGAUGAGGAGCUUGCUCUCAUGAUAAGAAGAUUCAGAAAGCUGUACAGAAAAGGAAGAAGAUUCAAUCCAAAGAAACAAAGUUUUCAAAAGUAACAGACUAAGUUUGUUGAGGAUGAUGAAUCAAAUAGAGAUGUAGUCUGCUUUGAAUGUAAGAAACAUGGACACAUCAGACCCAACUGUCCUCUUCUGAGGAAGAAGAAAGGAAAAACUAAAAAGUAUCGAAAUGCUCUUAAAACAGAAACCUGGAGUGAUACAGAAUGUGAAGAAAGUGAUGAUGAUUAUGCCAAUAUAUGUCUGGUGGCACAAUCGGAUUUAGAUUCAAAUUCCAAGACAGACUCAGAUUCAGACAGUGAAGUUGAGGUGAGUAACUCUAAAAUCCUUAUUAAAGUUUCUAAAUACAUUGAUGAGUUGUGUUUUAGUCUUAAGACUUCUCUUAAAAUGAUUUCCGAACUUAAAAAGGAAAAUUCUGCAUUAAAACAACAGGAAAAUGUUUUAAAAGAAAAGGUGAAAUGUUUAGACAUGAAUGUUUCUACUCUUAAAGAAAGAGAAGACAACCUUUCGAAAGAAAAUGUAUUUUUAAAAAAUGACAUAUCAAAUAUUUCCAAAAGAUUUUCAAUAGGAUUUGAGAAACUUGAGAAAAUUCUUUCAGCACAAAGACCUUAUUUCAAUAAAUCUGGUUUGGGAAUGACUGUGGAAACCAUUCCUUUAAUUGAUUUUCCUAAAGUGAAGGAAAGAAUUAAGCAAAGACCCAUAAGAGAUGCUUACAAAAAUCAUUUUAAAAAGGUCUUUGUAAAACCAAUAGGUCUCAAUGCUCUCAGAUGUUCAAAGUGCAAUAGUUCAGAUCAUUUUGAGAAAGAAUGUCCUAUGGUUUUGAAACCUGUUAAAAAAGUAUGGGCAAAAACUGCAUAUCAUACUAACACCAAUGGACCCAAUAAAAUAUAGGUACCAAAGAAAGUUUGAGUCUCUUUUUUAAAUGCAGGUCACUAUCAAGAAGAAGGUAAAAUGGUAUCUAGAUAGUAGAUGCUCAAGACAUAUGACAGGAGAUUCAAAUUGCUUCAUAAAGCUCAUUCAAGUAAAUGGUGGAAAAGUAUCAUUUGGAGGAAACAUCAAAGGAAGAAUUGUGGGAUUUGGAACUGUAAAUAUUGAAAACCUCACAAUCAGCAAUGUUUCCUUAGUGGAAGGACUCAACUACAAUCUGCUCAGUAUCAGUCAGUUGUGCGAUACCAGUUUCAAAAUCAACUUUCAAGAAAGAAUAUGUUCAGGAACUAGUAAAGAUUCCACUCAGUCAUCAUGGGUCGAAGACAUGGAAAUAUCUACCUCUUGGACGUGAAACCAGAUGAAUCGCAAUGUCUAAUCUUAAUUCAAGACGAAGCGAACUUAUGGCACAGAAAACUUGGGCACAUCAAUAUGAAGCAAAUAGCCAAAAUUUCAGCAAAGAAGCUAGUUCGUGAUCUACCCAAUCUGUCAUACCAAAAGUCUGAUCUAUGUACACCAUGUGUAUUGGGAAAGCAGGUAAGAAAUUCAUUUAAACCAAUAAAUCAAGUUUCCACUAAUUGUGUACUGCAGCUUCUACAUAUGGAUCUCUUUGGAUCAACCAGAACUCAGAGCAUUAGAGGUAAAAAAUAUUGCCUAGUAAUUGUGGAUGACUACUCACAAUUUACUUGGGUAUAUUUCCUGACAAGUAAGUCUGAAACAUUUAUUUACUUUGAAAAGUUUGCUAAAAAGAUUCAAAAUGAAAAAUGGUAUGAUAUUUCAAGUAUAAGAAUAGACCAUGGAGGUGAAUUUGAAAAUCAAUAUUUUACAAAAUUCUGUGAUGAAUCUGGUUUUCAGCAUGUGUUCUCCUCUCCAUAUACUCUAGAGCAAAACGGAGUUGUGGAAAGAAAGAAUAGGCCGCUUCAAGAAAUGGCUAGAACUCUUUUAAUUGAAAGUAACAUCUCUUCACGUUUUUGGGCUGAAGCAGUUUCUACAGCAUGUUAUAUUAUUAAUAGAGUUUUUCUAAGACCUAUUAUGGAAAAAAAAAACCCUAUGAGUUAUUCAAAGGAAAAAAAGCCUAUUGUUUCAUAUUUUCAUGUGUUUGGAUGUAAAUGCUUUAUAUUGAAAAAUGCAAAUGAUCGAGUUGGCAAGUUUGAAGAAAAAUCAGACGAAGGCAUCUUCCUUGGAUAUCCUACCUCAAGCAAAGCCUACAGAGUCUACAACAAGAAGACUCAAUCUGUGGAGGAAUCAAUGAAUGUCAAAUUCCAAGAUUUUAUGCAAAAUGAAUCUAUUCAGACCCAUCUUGAAGAAUCUGAACCUGCUCCAGACUCUACAAAGUCUAAAUCUCAAGAAGCAGUUCAAACUUCGAAAGACUAGCAUCAAAUGAUUGUUGAAGAUUCAAAUGAAGAAAGUGAUAAUCAACCUGACAAAUCAACCAGUAACUGGAAGCAUAAGUCUAGUCAUCCCAAAGAUCUCAUUAUAGGCGAGAUUAAUGAAGGAAUUCGCACAAGAUCCAAAAUGCGCGAAGAGUCUAGUGGUGUACCUCUUAUUUCUGAAAUAGAACCCAAAAGCAUAAAAGAAGCUUUAUCUGAUGAAAGCUGGAUUGAAGCCAUGCAAGAAGAACUCAGGCAAUUCAGUAUUAAUGAUGUCUGGGAAUUGACUCCUAAACUGAAAGAUAAAUAUAUUAUUGGAGCUAAAUGGGUUUUCAGGAACAAGAUGGACGAGAAAGGAAAGGUCGUAAGAAACAAAGCAAAACUCGUGGCCAAGGAAUAUACGCAAGAAGAAGGGAUAGACUAUGAUGAGACUUACGCACCAGUAGCGAGGUUAGAAGCAAUUAGAAUAUUACUUGCUUUUGCUUGUUAUAAGUUAGCUGUGGACUAGGAUCCUUAUGUGAAUGAUCCAGGGUCAAUUUACAACAUCCAUGUAUUGGAAUCUCUAAGCUCCCGAGAUUAUAUAUGAGGCACUAAGUAGGACACCGAGGUCUCGUCUUGCCUUGUUGUCUAGUGGCGUGUGUUGGGGUCUUAGGUUCAAGGCACUAACGUUCUUAAUCCAAGAGGUCUUGAGACUAAGCAUUGACGUCUCGAAUUUGAUCCAUAAGGGCGUGUUUGAUAACGUUUCUGUUGCCGGGAACAAUUUCUAAGCAUUUUAAGCCGUUUGGUAACUGUCCAAAAUUUCAAUUCUCGGAAUAGAAUUGCGUUUAGUACAGUGCUCAAAAUUUCUACUCCAAAUCAUUUUCUUUUAAUUUUUAAAUAUUUUUAUUAAUUUUUUUCCUUUUUUCUUCUUUUCUUUUUUCCCUUUCUUUCUCAUAUUCUUCUUCUUCAAGUGGCCAAUUGUCAACAGGUUGGUCGGUGACUGGCUAGACGAGAGUUGGCAACCUCACCGGAGCGUUGCCAACCCUUGGCGAGGACGGCCAUCGUUGGCCGAGCCUCGCUGGCAGCUGGGCAAGGCUCGGCCAAGCCUCAGCGGGGUUGGGGGAGGCCCGCUUGGCCACCGACGAGGCUCGCCUAGCCCUUUUGAGCCUCACUGAACUAGUUGCUAGUGAUUGGUGAUGGUGGGCGGCGGAUGGCGAACGGCAACCACGGCGGUGGCAGUAGAUGAAGAAGAAGAAAAGGGAAGAAGAACAAGAAAAUAAAAAGAGAAAUUGAUUUUAGAAUUGUUCCCAAGAACAAGAAUCAACCUUUUUUAUUUUUAUUUUUUUAUUCUUGAUUCUGUUCCAAAUCUACUUUCGGGAACAAAAACAUAGAAAUUUAUUUCUGAGAACAAAAUUUUUACUAAACACGAUUCUAUUCCAAAAUUGCUCAUGGGAACAAAAGAAUAUAAAUUUUUACUAUUUGGCCAGUUAGCAAACAUGACCUAAGCAAGCACCCAAAGGUCAUGGGUCUGGGCAACUGGGACCUAAGUCCAACCACAAGGUUCUAUGUUUGGUAGCCAAAGUCUCAUCUCUUCAUGGAUUCAACAGUUUGAGUUUUGAGUUAAGAUGCUGAAGGCUUGGUUCAACCCUAGGUGCUAGGGACCGCGCCCAUUGUUCCCAAGUUGAUGACAUGGGAUGCAUGUUUUUAAAUAUUAUGAUUUUUAUUUAUUCUCUUGUCUUUCUUUAUUUUAGAAAUUAUUUUAGAAUACUGGAUGAUUUGUUUCAAUAGUUAUCAUUUACAUAUUUAAGAUAUCGUGGGAUAGAAUUUCUUAUUAGUUUACAUAUUUCCUAUUAUAAAAUUAGAAUUUCCUAAGUGUUUUAGAUAUAAAUAUGCAUUGUGUUUUCUUGUAAUUUGGCUUAUUUAUUGAUGAAUAAAGGGAAAAUUUCAAAUGAGGGCAUAUGGUGCUCUCAUUUUCUCAAAUAAGUGCCUGAAGUAACCGUUAUUUUAAAUAAGGGCUAGAAAAAAAUGAAUUGACCAAAUUCUCUCGAAUAAGGACUUUUGGCUAGCCGUUGACUAUUCUGCCAUUGGAGAAAGGGUAUUUUAGUAAAAAAAGUUCUAAGUAUAUAUUUUUUAUUUUUCUCUCCUUGCCAUGCCUCAAGUGAGGGUUGCCUUUGCUGGCGUUGGGUGAGGGUGAAGGUUGCCCUUGUUAGCCCAAGUGAGGCGAUCCUUGCCAAAUGCUGGGGAGGAGGAGCCGUUGCCUGAGUCCAGCAACUUGAUGGAAAAGGGGGAAAAAAGAAAAAGAAAAUAACAAAAAAAAAAGAAAAAAAAAGGAAUUUUUGUAAAGAUGAAAAUGCCUUUCGAUCAGCAAGGUUAGCCUCUUCUUUGAGACCAAUAUGGCUACUUUAGGUAUUCAUAUGAAACAAUUUCACUUCAAGCCCUUAUUUGAGAAAAUUAUAGCACUUCAAGCCCUUAUUUAAAAUAAAGUCUACUUUAGGCCAUUAUAUGAGAAAAAAAAAAGGAACACUUUAAGCCCUUAUUUGGAAUUUUCCCAUGAAUUAAUGAAAAAAUAGUGAGGUUUUCUUUGUAGCAUUUCGUGUAUGUGCAUCGAAAUGCAUAUCAUGAGUGUUUACUUGCGUUAAGGAAUUCUCAUAUAUGCUAUCACUCAUUUAGGUUAUGUUGGGCUAUCAUAGGUGUUGUCUAGGCAUCACUUGUCUAGCAGUAGUGCUUGUUCAACACUUGUUGCUCCAUAGCUUGCAUAUAAACUAAUUCGAUUUGGAUCACCAUUGGGUUUUUAUUUCUUAACCAUACCAAUUUGCUUCUUAAAUUCACCAAUUUAUCGAAAGGUUGAAAAAAUAAAAUCCAUGCCUAAUAAUUAGGGAAAAUAAAAGUUUAAUAUCAUCUCUGGUAGGAGCUGGAUUUAUAGUGCCACUAGUGAGCAAUUUCACCCAAAAGAACAUGUUUAAUUGAGAAACCUUGAACCGACACAAACAAGGAAAGGAUUACCCACAAAGGGCAAGACAGAAAAGGUGAAAUAUAGACUCCACCUUAAAAAAAAAAACCCAAUUAUAGAUUCACCAUCAUAGCAUCCAGCCAAAAGAUGGAAAAAGGAAGGAACCCCAUCGAUUGCGACAAUCACUAUCGGAAAAUAGAUAAGCUUCGCACAACUUGUGCACUCCACAAAAUGAUUGCGCCCGUCACAAGUUAUGGAGCGCCCCAAUGUCAACAUCUUUAGGGCUAGAACGGCUUAAUUGAUAAGAAAUCAUCUUGAUUAUCAUCAAGACAACGUUGGCCUAAGAAAUCGAGUCUGAUUGGGAUUUGGAAAAAAAUGCAUAUAUUCGCGUCGAUAAUGACAUUUUACGCGCGCGGGUAACAUUUUCAAUGGUGGGAUUGGUGUAGGUCUGCGCAUCCAGAAAUGAUUGUUGCGACAAUGAGUCUUUAUCUUGAUAUUGAUUAAGUUUAACGCGUUUUUAUAAAGAGUCAAAUGAUUUAUUUUUUUUUAAAGCAAAGAAUUAAUCAUUAUUUGAUGCCUAGGGGGCCGUGCCAAACACAGAGAACGAGGAGACAUCGCCAUAGAAAAAGUUGGUACCUUGAUUUGACGGAUUUUUUCAUACUACACACAUCAACCGUUCACGUACUCCAAAGGCGGGGCCUCUCAUGCUUCGAGUCAUGAAAUACCCACAAGAAUUUAUUUGCUUUGUCACUAUAUUAUUUAUCACCUAUGUAUGUAUUUAUGCAUCAACUUAGGUGAAAAUCAUCAUAUAUAAACCGAACCACUAUGAGUCAAAUUAUUCCAUACAUACAUACAUACAUACAUAUAUAUAUAUAUAUAUGUAUAUAUGUAAAGUAUGUUUGUUUUGUGAUUUUUGCUCUAUUAAGUUAAUGUAACAUGUACAAAAGGCGAUCGUCCGACGAGUUUGAGAUUUUACAAAACACAAGCUAAAUUGUUCCCUCUAGUCAAUUUCAAAAGAGUUGGAAUAUUGCAAACUUAACGAAUUUUUAUUUUCUUUUGAAAAACAGAACACCAUUUGUCCGCACAACAAGAGGAGACAUUACCAAAUUUUGUGGACAUGCUUUGUCCGAGACCCAGCCCAUGUCCAGCAGCCCAGAUUGUGAUGGGUCCAGCCUGGACAGGCCCAUGGGGUGGCUGAUGGGCCUUGUCAAACACUAUUCAGUUGCUCUCCUAAGCUACAUAAACGAUCAACGAUAAAAUUCAAUGUCACAAGACAAUUUUCUAUCGGGCACAAUGCAAAUAAUGAGGUCCUAGAAUUAUAUAAUUGCUUUUGAGAUGCGAAGUUCUCAUUUAUCUAAAUCAAUCGUAGCAUGGCAAGUGUUACCAACUUCCUUAUCUUCUUUCAAGAUUAAUAAUAGUAUUUUUCCACAUGAUGAUCCACUUGGAUGGAUUGAAAUGUCAUACUUUGAGAGCACAUAAUUUUUUUUUUAGUAGAUAGAUAUUUUAUUCCUUCUCCUGUUUGCAUUCUAAUAUAAAAAUAUGAAUGCCGCUACCCAAUAUGCUUUCCACUUAAUGAUUGGAGCGUUGAUCUUGUUGUAAAUGCUAGAUCAUCAACUAGGCCGUCUUAAUAAAGAUUAGUUGAAGUUUGCUAUACUUAAGCUCUUUGUGAGGUGCCCAAAACGAGCUCCAAAUUGCAUAAAGACCUUUGACAUGAGCCUGUAAUUUGAAGAGACAGUCGACGUGACCCCAAGUUUUGUAUAUUUGUAAUCUUAACGCAUGUAUGUUGUGGACCUACUUGGUCGCAUCCCAUAUGCUUGGGUUUUGUCAUGUUCAAUUGGAUGUCGCCAUAUCCAAGUUUGUCAUAGCUGUCGACCUAGACUAGGUAAGAACCACAUCAAUUUGCUUCAGUCGGUCGUGAGUAAAUUAUGAGCUGGGAUAAAUGCAAGUGAAUCUCAAGUGAUGCACUGGAGAAAAUAUUUGGAAAUGCCAUCGAACCUCACCUUUUGUCACUUCUAAGUAGUUAUUGAAUGAUCGGGAACGCCUUCUGUCACACCCGAAAACUACAAAGAAUGGGGAUGACACAGCCGUCUAUCCACACGAAGGACGUAGCCUCAAACACAACCAAUAAACUGAUAUCAACUUAUAUAUAUCUCAAAUCAUAUAUAUACAUAUCAGAUAAAUCAAUAAAUUGGUUGCAACAUCAAAAUUUCUAUAAUCCACCAAAAAAGAUAUACGUUUAAAACUCAGACAAUACAACCACUAGCAGGGAUCAUAUGCACCACUUCCUUAAACCAUACCAAAGAAAAUAAAAAUAGGACUCCCUAAAAGUUUCCCACCAACGGCCCUCUCGCUCUAUUCGCUGCUAACCGAGGAACUUGAAAAGAUUAAAAGAGGAGUGGGAUGAGCAACAACAACUUAGUGAUACCAAACUUCAUAACGCCAACUCAAUAUAUAAAAUACAUAUCAAAUCUUAUAAGAGUUAUUUCUUAUCAUCAAAGCUUAAUAAUAAUAUGGAAAACUCAUUUAAAUCGCCAUCAAAAGUCAAGUAUCAAUAGUCGAAUCCAUUGAAUAAUCUCCAUCAAAAAUACAUAUCAAUGGUCUAUCCAUUCAUUCAUCUCAUAUCAAACACACAUCGAUGGUCUAUCCAUCGACCAAUCUUUUGUUCAAUAACUAACUAUGGUCACGACACAAUGCCUUGUGACAAGGUGACCAAGAUUUCCCCUUGGCAAGGUCUCCACCUACAAAGUCGAUGGCUGGGCCCAGAAGGAUAUCCCAAACCUAGUAUGCAUACCCCAAAAAGCCCUUACUGGGUUCACAGUCAUAUUGAGCAUAAAUAACCAUUCUUCAAUACUAGAAAACCCAAUUCAGAAAUCAAUAUCUUAAACCAAACAAAUAACAUUUGCGGCAUAGCCCAUCAUCCAUUUUAUAUCCAUUUCUCAAAUCAUCAUAAACAUUUUCAUGAAUCAAUCACAAGGCAAUUUCAUAGAUAUUUCUCCACUUACUUUGUAUAAUACACUUUUCAAACAUCCACAAUCAACCAAUGAGUAGCAAUUGCUCGACCUGGCUUUUAUGCAAUAAAAAUGCUCUUCUCGAUUCAAUAUAUAUACAUAUAUAUACUUCAAGACAUGGUUUUUACAAAACCAAAGAAGAUAUACUACCACUCACCUCGUCCUCUACGACCAAACGACGAACGAUACUCGUAUCGUCGAACUCAAUGCCCUAUCAAAUAACCGAGAAAAAUGUUAAAAUCUAAUAAAACUCUAUCUCAACUACGAAACAACUAAAUUACGCCUUAACUCUAACAAAAGGAUUUCUACUCGCUAAUAAUUCGCAUAACCAAAACGAUUGUUCAAGCCAUUCGUGACGUGGAGUUUAAGCGCAAAACUUAGUUACGCAAUAACUUUCUCAUCCAAACCCCGUUCCGAACGUACUUUUGGUCAAUAAAGAGCCCUUGACACAUAUUACAAGAAUCCCAACUUGACUGUCCCAAAAUCAAGCAAAAAGAUGACAAAAUACGGGUCCAAAGCUGUUGGACACGUACUGUUCAUUGCGCGCGAGAAACUUUGAAAUUUUGUUUUGGAAAAACUUAUUAGCUCAAAUCACGAUCCAUAAAAUCCCACGGCUCCACAACACACUAAACUACCAUUCCUACAAAAAUACGCGGCUUAACGACUCCAAAAUCGGACUUCGCCGCUCGAUUUUCCAAAAAUUCCGAAUUUGAACCUUGAACCCAUAAACUGCUUCAAUUGGACGAAUGGGGGGCCUAAUCUCUUACCGGGUGCUGCAUUAUGGGAUCGAGUUGGCUUGGUGAGGCAUCUGAGGCAUGCAUGUGCCAAAACUUCUUUCCUUUCUUCUUCUUCUUCUUAUUUAUUUAUUUAUUUUUGGUUGAGGACCCCUCAGCUUCUAUUUAACCGAGCCCUGACUUUUCAACUUCUUUUUCUGUUUUUUCUUUUGGGGCCCAGUAGCCAAAUAUUACAUUCUACCUUCCUAAAAAAAAAUUUCGUCCUCGAAAUUUACAUGUACUUCAAUCAUAAAACAAGUGAUGGUAUUUGUGUCAUGCCUCCUCCUCGAGUUCCCAAGUAGCCUCUCUCUCGGUGUGGUUUUGCCAUUGUAUUUUCACAUAAGGAAUAGUUCGUCGCCGCAACACCUGAUCCUUCUUAUCGACAAUGCAAAUAUGUUGUUCCUCAUAUGUCAAGUUCUCCCGUAAUCUCAAUGGAGUAAAGUCUAGCACAUGUUCAGGAUUUGCACAUAUUUCCGCAACAAAGAGACAUGGAACACAUUAUGGACAGUUGAUAGUGCCGGUGGCAAAGCCAAUUUAUAAGCGACUUCACCAAUUUUCUCUAAGAUCAAGAAUGGUCCCAUGUACCUUGGAUUUAACUUCCCACGUGUGUCAAAUCUCGUUACACCCUUCGUAGGAGAAACUUUUAAGAACACGUGAUCCCCCACAUUAAAUUCUAACUUGCGUCUUUUUAGAUCCGCAUAACUUUUCUGAUGAUUUUGAGCCGUUCUGAGACGUUCUCGAACCAACCUAACUUUCUCUUCUAAUUGCUGGAUGAACUUAGAGCCAGUUAGUCUUUUCUCACCAACGUCUUCCCAAAAAAUAGGACUUCUACAUUUUCGUGCCAUCUUAAUACUGGAGUGAUAAUUGUUGUUAUAAGAAAAUUAUGCCAAAUAUAGAUAUUCAUCCCAAGAACCGCCAAAGUCAAUGAUGCAUGAUCUCAACAUAUCCUCUAAUGUCUGGAUCGUUCUCUCUGAUUGUCCAUCUGUUUGUGGAUGAAAAGCUAUACUUAAGUUGAGUUUAGUGCCCAAUGCUGCUUGCAAACUCUUCCAAAAGUUAGACACGAACCUAGGAUCCCUAUCAGAAAUAAUGCUUACAGGAACUCCAUGAAGCUUCACUAUCUCAUUAACAUAUCGCCUUGCCAUAUCUUCCAUUGAAAGACCAAAUCGAUAUGACAAAAAGUGAGUGGACUUAGUCAAUCGAUCACCAUUCACCCAAAUAGAAUUCCUACCACUGGGCGUCCUCGGUAGACCAACUACAAAGUCCAUGGCAAUAUGCUCCCACUUCCAUGUAGGUAUCUCUAGAGGUUGCAACUAUCCACCUGGUUUAUGAUGUUCAAUUUUCACUGGCUGGCAAACUAAACAUUGAUCAACAAAUUUUAUAAUAUCAUUUUUCAUGUUGAUUCACCAAAAGUUUUUUCUCAAGUCCCUAUACAUUUUAGUGCUUCCCGGAUGAAUUGAAAAUCUAGUACUGUGAGCUUCUUGCAGGAUCUCCUUUUUCAGCUUUGAGUCCUCAGGAACACAUAGUCAACCACGAAACCUCAAGGAUCCAUCUAUGUGUAAACUAAAUCUGCUUGUCUUUAAGCUUCCACAGCUUCUCUAAUUUUUUGUAAUUGUGGAUCUUCAUUCUGUUUAGCCUUAAUUAUGUUAAUCAACAUAGGUUGUACUUGAAGAUUAGCUAAUUGAGCACCAAGCUGCUGCACCAACACCUCUAAGUCUAACUUCCUCAUAUCUUCAAGAAUGAGUUUUUAAGAAGUGAGCAAAGCUACCAUAUUUCCAAAGGAUUUACGACUCAAAGCAUUCGCUACCACAUUAGCCUUACCCAGAUGGUAAUUAAUGGAUAAGUCAUAAUCAUUCAAAAGUUCUAACUAUCUUCUUUGCCUCAUGUUCAGUUCUUUCUGAGUAAAAAUAUACUUUAGACUCUUGUGAUCGGUAAAGGCUUCACAUUUUUCACCAUACAAAUGAUGCUGCCAUAUCUUCAAGGCAAACACAACCGCCGCUAACUCCAAAUCAUGAGUGGGGUAGUUCUUCUCAUGUAAUUUCAAUUGUCUAGAAGCAUAGGCAACAACUUUGCUAUUUUGCAUAUAAACACAACCCAAACCUUCUUUGGAUGCGUCGCAAUAGAUUAUGAAGCCACCACUUCCAGAAGGUAGAGUUAGAAUAGGAGCCGACACCAGCCGUCUCUUCAACUCUUGAAAACUAUGUUCACAUUGGUCUGACCAUUCAAAUUUAACUUUCUUCUGGGUUAGACGGGUAAGUGGACUAGCAAUCUUUGAGAAUCCCUCUACAAAUCGCUUAUAGUAGCUGGCUAGCCCAAGAAAACUUCUCACUUCUGUAACAUUAGUUGGACGAUUCCACUUAACAACUACUUCAACCUUCUUUGGAUCCACUAAUAUGCCAUCCUUCGAGAUCACGUGACCCAAGAAUUCUAUAUGAUCAAGCCAAAAAUCACACUUACUAAAUUUGGCAUACAACUUCUUUUCAUGUAAAGUCUGCAAGACAAACCUCAAGUAUUGUUCGUGUUCCUCUAAACUCUUCGAAUACACUAGGAUGUCAUCAAUGAACACCAUAAUAAAUUUGUCUAGAUAUUCCCUGAACACUUUGUUCAUCAAGUCCAUGAAGGCAACAAGCGCAUUUGUUAAUCCAAAAUGCAUGACGAGAAAUUCAUAAUGGUCAUACCUUGUUCUAAAAGUGGUUUUAGGCACAUCAUCUGUUUUUAUCUUCAACUGAUGAUACCCAUAACGAAGGUCAAUCUUGGAAAAUACCUGAGCUCCCUGAAGUUGAUCAAAUAAAUCCUCAAUCCAAGGCAAAUGAUAUUUGUUUUUAACCGUUACCUUGUUAAGCUCUCGAUAAUCUAUGCAAAGCUGCAUACUACCAUCCUUCGUUUUCACAAAUAGAACAGGAGCUCCCCAAGGCGAAACACUAGGUUUGAUGAAACCUUAUCGAAAAGCUUUUCAGUUGCGUUUUCAAUUCUUUCAAUUCAGUGGGUGCCAUCCGAUAUGGUGCCUUAGAGAUUGGUGCUGUACCGAGCAUCAAUUCAAUACAAAACUCAAUUUCUCUAUCAAGAGGCAAGCUUGGUAAAUCCUCAGGAAACACACUUGGAAACUCUCUAACGACAGGAACAUCUUCCAACUUUACUACAACCUUAUGUGUGUCUUUUACACAAGCUAAAUAACCACAACAGCCUUUUCUCAAAAGUUUCCUUGCUUGCAAAGCUGAGGUCAACCUUGGAGAAAUGUUUUGACAACUUCUCGAAAAAGAGAAUUCGGGUUGAUUCGAAAGUCUAAGUAUCACCUUUUUUGAAAAACAGUCAACAAUAGCACGAUAGGUAGAUAACCAAUUCAUUCCUAUAAUAACAUCGAAAUCUCGAAUAUUUAACUCUACUAGAUCCACAGGCAUUUCAACAUUUUUAAUCUGAAUCACACAUCUCUUGAACACAUGAUGACCAACUAAGAAAUCGCCAGUGGGAGUAUCAACACACAAUUCACAUUCAAGAGGGUCAGGCAACACAUCAAGCUUCUUUGCAAUUUCAGUUGAAAUGAAGAAGUGCGUAGCACCAGGAUCAAAUAAGGCAUAAGCACAUUGUGAGGCAAUAGAAAUAUUACGUGCAACAAUUGCGUUAGAUGCUGCCGCAUCCUCCUUCGUCAUUGCAAAAACUUUCUCACUUGUACUUUGUCUUUGUUAGUUCUCUUGGGGCCUACCAACGAAAGGGGUAUUCCUCCGCAUGGAACACUGGUGUGCUAGGUGGCCUUGUCGCUCACAUAGAUUACAUGAUCUAUUGCCAAUAGGAGGAUUCCUUUGUGUAGAACAAUCUCGCAGCAUGUGUCCCGCUUUCCUACAUGAGAAGCAUACUUCAAUUUUCCGAUGACACUCACUGCGAUGAUAACUUCCACAUGUAUUACAAGGGCCCUGGUUACUCGGAUUUCUGAACUAUCCUGGCCGGCUGAAACCUCUUCGCCUUCCACUACCAUCAGUAUGGCUACCUUGUACAUUUGUGGGCUUAAACCUUUUGGGUUUAGGCGCUCCUUGUGUGCCAUGCUUCAGAAUGCUUUGUUCCACCUUGAUUGUCCGUUCUAGCACAUCCUUAUAAGUUUUUAAUAUGAAAGGUGCAAGUGCAGAAUUAAUUUUAGGUCGGAGCCCUCCUAGGAAAUGGUCGGCCUUAUCUUCCUCAUUUGCUACCUAGUGCUCUGCAAAUCUACUCAACUGAUUAAAGCGAACUGAAUACUCCAAGACCGUGGAGUCACCCUCAGAUAUAUGUACAAAGUCACCCUUCAUCUUUGCCUGGAAUGACUUUGGGAAGAAUUGAGCAUUGAACGCCUUUUAAAAGUCCUCCCAAGAUAUAAUAACAUCCCUACCUCCAAGACUUGGCUUCAUUCCAUCCCACCAAAACUCUGCUUCACCUUCCAGGUAUUGGGUGGCAAAUUGAACUUUCCGAUCCUCGGGAACCUCUUCAGCUUCAAAGAUCCCAUCAAUCUUUUUAAUCCAACGCUUAGUCGCAAGAGGAUCAGCUUUCCCAUCAAAAGUGGGUGGUUUUGCCUUUCUUAAAUGGGCAAAAGUGCCUGAGCCAGUCGCUCCAUCUCCAGUUAAUUCUUUUGCUUGGUGAUACCAAUGGAUCAUUACUUGUUCAAAUUCAGUUGAACAGGUUGGCUCUUGAUCCUCUUCUUUGACUUCGCGCAAGUUAGGACUCCUAUUAUAGUGGUCCUCAAGUCUCCUUCUCAAAAACUCACCUCGAGAAGCUUGAGGUAUGUCUCUAGCCUCAGGGGUAGUGACUCGUUUGCCUUUGCGGCUCCUACGAAGCGAGGCAAGUGUCUCAAAGUUGGUACUCAUGAUCACCUGAAUCUAAUAAUGAAACUACACCUUAGAAUCUAGAAGACUAACGCAAAAAUAAAAUCUAUCACACAACCUCACAACAUCCCAUAACUACAUCCAAAAAGAUCAAAACUUAGGCUCUGAUACAAAAAAUGUCACACCCCAAAACUACAAAGAAUGAGGAUGACACGGCCAUCAUUCCACACGAAUGACGCGACCUCAAACACAAUCAACAAACUAAUAUCAACUUAUAUAUAUCUCAAAUCAUAUAUACACAUAUAAGAUAAACCAACAAAUUGGUUGCAAUAUCAGAGUUUCUAUAAUCCACUAAAAAAAAUAUACGUUUAAAACUCAGACAAUACAACCACUAGUAAGGAUCAUGUGCACCACUUCUUUAAACCAUAUCAAAGAAAAUAAAAAUAGAACUCCCCAAAAGUUUCCCACCAACGGCCCUCUCGCUCUAUUCGCCGCUAACCGAGGAACUUGAAAAGAUUAAAGGAGGAGUGGGAUGAGCAACAACAGCUUAAUGAGUAGUACAUCUCUUCUAAGUAGAUCGAACAACCAUUAUGCAUGUAUAUAAAGUAAUACCAAACUUCAUAACGCCAACUCAAUAUAUAAAAUACAUAUCGAAUCUUAUAAGAGUUAUUUAUUAUCAUCAAAGCUUAAUAAUAAUACGGAAAACUCAUUUAAAUCGCCAUCAAAAGUCAAGUAUCAAUGGUCGAAUCCAUUGAAUAAUCUCCAUCAAAAACACAUAUCAAUGAUCUAUCCAUUCAUUCAUCUCAUAUCAAACACACAUUGAUGGUCCAUCCAUCGACCAAUCUUUUGCUCAAUAACUAACCAUGGUCACAACACAACGCCUUGUGAUAAGGCGACCGAGAUUUCCCCUUGGCAAGGUCUCCACCUACAAAGUCGAUGACUGGGCCCAGAAGGAUAUCCCAAAUCUAGUAUGCAUACCCCAAAAAGCCCUCACUGGGUUCACAGUCAUAUUGAGCAUAAUAACCAUUCUCCAAUACCAGAAAAUCCAAUCAAGAAAUCAAUAUCUUAAACUAAACAAAUAACAUUUGCAGCAUAGCCCAUCAUCCAUUUCAUAUCAAUUUCUCAAAUCAUCAUAAACCUUUUCAUGAAUCAGUCGCAAAGUAAUUUCAUAUAUAUUUCUCCACUUACUUUGUGUAAUACACUUUUCAAACAUUCACAAUCAACCAAAAAGUAACAAUUGCUCAAUCUGGCUUUUAUGCAAUAAAAAUGCUCUUCUCGAUUCAAUAUAUAUAUUUCAGGACAUGAUUUUUAUAAAAUCAAAGAAGAUAUAGUACGACUCACCUUGUCGUCUACAACCAAACGACGAACGAUACUCGUAUCGUGGAAUUCAAGGCCCUAUCAAAUAACCAAGAAAAAUGUUAAAAUCUAAUAAAACUCUAUCUCAAUUACGAAACAGCUAAAUUACGCCUUAACUCAAACAAAAAGACUUCUAUGCGCUAACAAUUCGCAUAACCAAAACGAUUGUUCAAGCCAUUCGUGACGCGGAGUUUAAACGCAAAACUUAGUUACGCAAUAACUUCCUCCUCUGAACCCCAUUUUGAACGUACUUAUAGUCAAUAGAGAGCCCUUGACAAAUAUUACAAGAAUCCCAACUUGACUGUCCCAAAAUCAAGCUGAAAGAUGACAAAAUACGGGCCAAAAGUUGCUGGACGCGUACUGUUCACUGCGCGCAAGAAACUUUGAAAUUUUGUUUCGGACAAACCAUAUGCUCAAAUCAUGAUCCAUAAAAUCCCACGGCUUCACAACACCAUGAACUACCAUUCCUACAAAAAUACGCAGCUCAACGACUCCAAAAAUGGACUUUGCUGCUCGAUUUUCUAAAAGUUCCGAAUUUGACCCCUAAACCCAUAAACUACUUCAAUUGGACGAACGAGGAGCCUAAUCUCUUACCGGGUGCUGUGUUAUGGGGUCGAGUUGGCUUGGUGAGGCGUUCAAGGCGUGCACGUGCUAAAACUCUUUUCCUUUCUUCCCCUUUCUCUUCUUUCUUUUCUUUCUGGUUGAGGACCCCUCAGCUUCUAUUUAACCGAGCCCUCUCCCCUCUUCUUUUUACUUUAUUGACUUUUCAACUUCUUUUUAUGUUUCUUCUUUUGGGCCCCACUAGCCAAAUAUUACACCUUCCCACCGAGUCAAGUCAAUGUCGCCCCUACCAUCUUCUACGUCUGGACGUGAGGAAGUUAUUGUUGCCCGAGUGACGCAUGUAAUGACGCCUUGAGGCCCUCCAUCUUUUCCUUAUCACAACUUGUCCCGUUCUUGCACCGAUUCCUCACUCCUAGUGCGUCCCACGUUCACCAGAUUUCUGAGGAAGAAAGGAAAAUGUCGAGCUCUCAGUGUUUUGAGAACCCACCAAACCUGAGCUCCACUUGCGGAGCAGGACACGUUGAAGAGCUUGCAGGUCUCAAGACUUACGUCACCGGCCCUUCCGAUUCCAAGCGUGCUGUUCUUCUCAUCGCCGAUGUUUUCGGUACUGGCCCAUUUCUUUAAUUUUGAUUUUGUGGUGUUUCUCUCAGUUGGGUCUUUUCUUUUGGUCAAUUAUGUAUAUCUCCUUGGUUCUUUGUCGUUCUUGUGCUUUUCGAUUGGUCCAUGAUAUUGCUGCUUGAUUGAUCUUUGCUCAUCUGUUUGUGCAGGGUAUGAGGCUCCUAAGCUGAGGUAUGGAAUCUUUCUCAAGUUGUUCUAUGUAUAUGUUGUUCUCUAGUGCCAUCUUUUGACGUUUCAUGGUGAAUAAACUCUGUAUUCUCCGGAUAGCAUACAUUUGAAAGCUUUGCUUUUCCGUUCACCUUUCACCUGUGAUGACGAAGAGCAUUAGAUGGCACUUGAGGGCGAAGCCAGUUCAUUCUGGAUGAGUGUGUUUGGCGUUCUUCUGUUCCAAGUUAAAACAUCAUUUGUUGAAUUGUAUAUACACGCGGGACCUCAUGGCAUAGUCCAGCUGACAUUUUAUAUACAUCGCUUGAUUCAAUACGAAUCUCAGUUUUCUUUGUUCUAAUGAUUUCUGCUACUAGUAUGGCUCAGCUGGUCAUGUAAUUCGGUUUCAUCUUGAGAUAGAGUUAUCCUUAGUUGCAACACCAAAAUCACAUAAGCUGGGGUUGCCUUCUUGACAGUCCCGGCAUAAUUCUAUGUUUUAACAAGAUUGAGAAUGAUAAGAGUUACCUUUUCAAAUGGUCAUACUUAUUUGCGGAAUGCUUUCCUUGUGUAGGAAACUCGCAGAUAAAAUUGCAUCCGCGGGAUUCUUGGUGGUCGUACCUGAUUUCUUUUACGGAGAUCCCAUUAUUGAUUUCACUAGUCCUAAUUUCAAUUUUGAAGCUUGGUUUAAGAAUCACGGCACGGUGAGUUUUUCACUCCUUCAGGCUGUGAAAGUGUGACAGUACAUUUAGAAGUUCAGAGGAAACAAGGGGCUUUCUACUGUGCAAACUUGAUUUGUAGACUCGAAUCACACGCAGUAAGUUGCAUUGGUAUUUAGACCUGGUUGGAGAUUGCUGGUCAUUUCAAAGAUUUUCGACGCCCAGCAAGAUCUUUAUUAUAUAAAAUUCCAAAUGCAAAACAUGAAACAGCAUAAGUAGAAUAAAAGCCUCAUGAAUUUUGAUGUUACCGACUUUUAGACAAUCUUUUUAUAAACGUUUACUUCAUUUGCUUCUUUAGGAUAAAGGGCAUGAAGAUGCCAAGCCAGUGAUUGCUGCUCUUAAGAGCAAAGGUGUGUCUGCCAUUGGGGCUGCAGGAUUUUGUUGGGGAGGUAAAAUUUUCUGAAUUCACUUUCCUAGUUCUGAGGGGGUUGUUGGGUUAAGAAAUGGGAAAUUUGUUCUUAUUGGAAAUUGUAAUCCAUUUUCUCUAAAAAUAUCUAGAAACUACUAACUUAAUCAUGAAGGUGAGAACCUUCUAGAAUUGUUGAGAAUGAAGAUUGCUAGUUGAAUCUAGAAGAUUCACAUGGGAAUGCAAGCAAGCAAAAGCCAAGCAUCAAAGAAAAUCCUAGAACAAGCAAGAGAAGUCUAGAGAAGUCCAUGCUUCAAGAGAAGUCUAGAAUUCUAGAAUGCUUCAAGAGAAAUCUAGAAUUCUCUAUCUUAGGUUAGUAGCUAUUUGUAGAGAAGUCUAGAGACUUCCUCCACCUACUUUGGCAGCCUAUAUAAAGGAGCAAGUGCUCCAUGUUUUGGUGAAAGGGAGCUAACCAUAAAAACCACAUCAUGCUCCCUCACCAACACUUCCUUCAACUAUUGUAAAAUUAUUUUAUCUAACUAAUCAAACUAUUUUUGUCCCAUAAACCUUCUCAAAAUAUCCUAUAUCCCAUGUUCUUUAUCCUUUAAUUAUCCUAGUUUAUCUUUUGUCCGUCCUCUACAAACUAUAUCAUACACUUGCACACAACAUCACUAAUAAAAAACUAUCAUCAAUACCAAAACCAUACUUCUGCGCAUAUUUAUAUUUUUAACAGUUCUACAUUGACCGUUGAGAAACUAGUUUUGUUGACUUGCAGAAAAGUUCUUUCAAGUUGUUAAAAAGAGCUUGCCUAUUCUUUUCAGGAGUGGUGCUUGUGAAAUUAGCGGGCACUGAAGACAUUCAAGCAGCAGUUAUUCUGCACCCCGGUCCUAUGACCGAAGAUGCAAUCAAAGGUAAAGCUAUGCCAAUAAACAUGGACUUGCUAUUUUCUUUUCAGCCGCAGCGAUAUAAUUUCUUCAUGAGGGUAUAAGACUUGGUACUUGGCACGGGAGCCUUUAUCGCCUAUUAUGAAAUGCUCAUGAACAAUUAAAUUAUAUGAAUUCUGAUGGGAGUCUGUAAUGCAGCCAAGAGUGACGAAGAAACUCGCUAUAACAUGUCCGGUCAAUUACAAAAAAUCGAUGGCACGACUUUUGUCUACUUGAGAAGUGUUCCUUAAACUGGAAGCCUUAAAAGACCUUAUUUUCUUCUGUUCUUUGUUCAGCUGUCAAGAUUCCAACUGCUAUAUUGGGAGCCGAGAUUGACCAUUCUUCCCCGCCGGAACAACUGAAAAAGUUUGGGGAGAUCAUGUCGGCUAAAACUGAAGUAAGCUUCUUAGGAUGCUUUGCAUUGGUUGCAAACCAAUUGUGAGAAAAUGCAAUCGAUUUUUUACAUUCCCGUCAUUUCGCUUGGAAAGCACUUUCCCUUCCUGGUUAUUUAUACACAUCGCUAAUUCAAAGACCCCGGUUUUGCAGUUUGAGAGCUAUGUGAAGAUAUUCCCUGGUGUUAGUCAUGGAUGGAGUGUGAGGUACGACGACGACAAUGAAUUGGUGGUCAAGAGCGCCGAAGAGGCCCAAGAAGACACUUUGAAUUGGUUCUUGAAGCAUGUCAAGUGAAGAGAACCGAAGGCAUUGAAGCAGAACAUUCUGACGGAAGCAGUAGAUGACUGUAUUGUGUGAGACGAACAGUUUGAGGACUAGUCAUCUAUUGUAAUAUCUGGC
Molecule: long non-coding RNA, 60745 nt
Filed under: Eucalyptus grandis
Lineage: Eukaryota; Viridiplantae; Streptophyta; Magnoliopsida; Myrtales; Myrtaceae
Description: long non-coding RNA (EGRA_LNC005116)
Source: RNAcentral